RNAcentral lists this long non-coding RNA (86078 nucleotides) under Capsella rubella. RNAcentral's name for it is "long non-coding RNA (CRUB_LNC003207)". Lineage: Eukaryota; Viridiplantae; Streptophyta; Magnoliopsida; Brassicales; Brassicaceae. The record is from RNAcentral.
CUCAACUGCGGGCUUUACAGCGGUUUGGAUAUCCACUUUUCUAACUCUAACCGGUGGCGCAGAAGCAAAAACGGGCACUGAGGUUCUGAUUGUGACAGGUGGUGCAAUUCUCACGGGUGGUGCAGUCCGCAUCAGCGAUGGGACAUACGCAGAAGAAGGUAGCUGAGUGUUGUUUGUACAAGGUGGAGGAGGCAUUGGAGGUGCAGAGAAGACUGGUACAGCAGUUCUGAUUGUGACAGGUGGAGCCAUCCCAUGGCAUGGUGAUCUUAAAUGCCUCAUAGGAACAUAAGGAGGUGGAGCUGCUGUUCCUGGGUUUGCAUAUCUCUGCUGAGGCCGCUGGUAGCUGCGGCUUUCCAAGGCUGCUGCCAUAAUUCUGUCAACACCGGCAGGUGUUGCUAAGGAUCGGCUGCUUCUAGAAGGUUGUUUUGGGCAAAUAAAUGGUAAGAUUCUUGAUGUGGUUGCAGGAGAAGGCUGUGGACUUGUUGGUCUAGGAUUGUGCAAAUAGAACUUCUUGGCAAAUGGAACCGGGGCAGUUGAGGAGCUUCCCGUGCCAAUAUUUUCCUUGAUUCGAUAGUUUAUCAAGGCUCUUGCUAUGAUCACCUGUUCUAGUUCGUCAAUGUUCUCAGGCUCAGGCAUUGAACUUGAUGUUUCUUUUGCCACUGUAACCAAGAUGAUCAUAAAACAUCAAACAAGUCGCACCACGUAAGGAGAGGUUACUUUUUCAACAACACUUUCAUUAAAGUAAAACCAUACAAAAACUGGAGAUAUCAGGUGAGAAGGAAAGACUCACAUUGUUUUAGGGAAGACCAAGCAGCCAUAGCAGCAUUCUUCUCUGCUUGUUUUUUGUUCUUAGCUGGAUCUCCAGUGAAUGUAAUUCCAGCCAAUUCUACAGUACCAGUAAACACGGGUUGGUGGCCAAGACCAGACCUGAAGGUUGUAUAUCGCGGUAGAGGAGCUCCCACUCUCUGAGCUAUUUCUUGCAACAGAUUCUUGUACACACCUGUCUCAUCCUACACAGUCAAGAGCCAGGACAAGCAUGAUCAGUCACGCAACAACAAAAGUAUCAAAACCAGUUCAACAGAAGGAAGCAUGCAUCCAAAGAUCAAAAGAGUUCAUAGCUCUCUACUCUUAGAUUCCCUAAUCAACCAAACACAUGAAUGGGCAAGAACAAGAUUCAAACUUUUGGAUCCGUAGAUCAUUAACUAAUCUAAAGCAUCAGUGAACGAGAUGACCCAGAAACCCAAACCCCUAACUAAACUACUCAGAGAUCUCAGCACCGACCCUAAUAACCUAACCACAGACUUAAACCCCAUCACUAGCCACCUGAAACAACUAAAGGAAACAUGCAAAUUCAACACCAAAAAGCUCAAAAUUUUCCAAAUUAGAAAUGCCAAAAAAUGGCAAGUCCAAAGAGGGUAAGAAGAGAAAAGCAAAAACUAACCAAGAUCCUGGCGGCAAGAGAGUGAGAAGGACCACGAUUAGAGAGGGCAUUGAGAGCAACUUCAGCAGCAGAGUGCUCAGCUUGACGAAGAGUAGAACAGUACUGAGGACUCUCAAAGAUCUCGCCAUUAAAGUUAACCGUAGCCUUGAAUCGCGGCGCGUGGUCUGGACCUUCCCUAAUACAAGUAUACGAAGGAAGACAAAAGCAGCUCCUCUGCGCCAGCUCCUGUAGCUGGUUCUUAUACAUUUCUGCCAAUUUCCAAAAAAAAAACAAAAACACCAAACACAAAAUAAACUCCAAUUUCGGAGAGAUCAAAGCUUCGAUUUUUUUUUAGGGCUUUUCCCCCAUUUCUUCGACUCUAUCUCUCCCAAUCAUCUAAAAUCGUACAAGGGUUUGCUUGGGGAGUGAUUAAGAAGCCAGGUUUGGUCGCGAACGAGGUUGAAGAUGAUGAAAUCGGAGGAAAUUUAGGGUUUUUGCAGAGAGAGAAGAGAGAAGAGAGAGAGAAGAGGAAGAGGAAGAAGAGAAGGAGAGAGAGAGAGAGAGUGUGGGGUUUUUGCUUUAAUGGAAAAAAAAAUAAAUGUGAGAAUUUAUUAUCUGCUUUUAUCGCUGCUAGUCAACUGAACGUUAGCCUGCAUGGAUGUGAUAUAUAUAUUUUAUAUUUCUCUCUUUUUAAUUAAUAUACAAAUUUUGUAUGUAUCUUAAAAUUAAACUCAAUUUUACAAUACAAUAUCAAGUUGAUUAAUGAGAUUAAUUACUCCCAAUAACAUUGACGAAUUUAGAGUUAGAUUUUCUACAUCUAAUCCUUUUCCUAAGGUUUAACAAACAAAAAAUUAAAAACAAAUUAUGUUAACCAAAUGACUUAAAUUAUCUGGUUUAGUACUAUUUUUUUUUUAAAUUACAUUAAAUUUAUGGAGAAAACAUUAAAAUAGAAUUAUGGAAAACUAAAACGGCAGAAUCCGUAGUUACAUACGACUAAAACGGUCGAAUUUGUAACAAUACUCUAAGAAAAACAACUAAAGUAAAAGUAGAAAAUUGUGUAAUAUAGUAUGAAACUAUAAGAUAUUCUAUUUAUUCUCAGUAAGUUUCCAAUAGCUAUUUAAGUUUUACAAAAUAAUAUUUUUAAUUUUUUUUUUGAGCUUGUAUUAAUCAUAUAUGGUUCAUUAAGAACUAAGAAGUGUUAGACCGCACAAUACUCUUCAGUUAUGUGCUACGUUGUAAUUAGAAAUAAAGGUCAAACAAAAUCCGUAAAAUCCGCAAAAGUUCUCAUUCAAUAUAUGUUAUGGUUUUAAAAAUUUUAAAAUAUAUAUAUAAAGAAAACGAAACGGCAGAAUCCAUGGUAACGUCUGGCAAAACGGUCGAAUUCGUAACACCACCCACAAAAAAAACAUUCUUGGUCAUAUCUUUUUGGUCAUCACAUGAUUCACCUCUCAAGAACAUACUUUUACUUCUUUGGCAUUCAACUAUUUAAUGAUUCAUGGAGAAAACAAAAUUACAUCACAACAUCCAGCAAAACCAAGUCCCUAAUUUUCAAAAUAACUAACCUCACUAUUCAAAAUAAUUUUUCCUUGUUAUACAAACUUUUUAACAUACAACUGAUAGAUAAGCUAUAACCAUGGUUCCACGAGACUUCAUUCUAAUGGUGAUUCACCUACCAAAUGCACUUCGUUUUUUCUCACUACCAAUGGAAAGUUGGGUUCAAUUUUUUCUAUAUUUCUAUAUUUUCUAUGUUCAGUAUUUUAUUUAUUGCUCACUACCAUGGUCUCCAAUUUUUUUUUUCUAGUAUGCAAUUUAUGUCAACAAAAUAGAUUUCUUAAUUUUCAUUUGGUUUUACUAUACUCCAGUUUUACUACUAUGCUUGCAAUGUAAUUUUCAAAAAUUUGGAUAGACUCUUUGUUAUUAGAUGUUGUUAAUUAGAGGAUUUCCGGCCGAUAUUUUAUAAUGUUACCAAAUCUCACCAAGAUUAGAUAGUUAAAGCAUUUUAAAUGUAAUUAAGUUCAAUUAAUGUAGAAUUAGACUUUUGACAUCUUGAGAGCCAAAUUUAAGUAAUGCAUGCUUUGUAUCUGUUUGAAUAUAUGAUUAAGUUAUCGCAUUUAGUUCUUGAGAUCUUGCUAUGUCCGGAUGCAAGUAGAUGCAUUCACAUGUUUGUUAAAAUCAUAAAUGUAAAACAUAUCCUUGGAUGCACAAUGAUUCAGACGGUUUUGCAAGAAAAUGACAUAAUGUACCAAAGUAGUCGACUUGCUCUACGAAAAAUCAAAUAUCUUGAAAAGAUACCAUAAACAUAUUACGCGCAUUUCUAAUUCUUUAGAUGAUAAAUAUAAACACAACCACAUCCAUUAAAUCUUUACAAAAUUCACACGUUGAUAUCGUAGGGUUACCAAAAUUUUACAACCAUAUUUUUGCUCGAAGCACUUAAAAACUAAAAUUGAUUGAUAUGAGUGGAACUGGGAUACAAGAGCUACCACACUGGUUUGCUCUUCUAAAACCUAGAAAACCAAGGAGUGCAUAUCAAUGUAUAAGCAACGAAAAAAAAUGUUAAUAUACGAAAGCAAUAAUGGACGAAAUAUUCAACAAAUAGUAGAAAAAAUAAAAGUAAUAAUCUCCAACAAAAAGAAAUAUAAAAAUGAGUAAAAAACAAAAAACAAAAUACUAGAAAACAGCUUGAAUCCUAAGAAGUUAGUGCAUAUUUUAUUUUCAUAUAUUAAAAUUAAAUGUUCACACAUCUCUAAAGAAUAAAUUUAGCUUUUGAUGAAUUUUUGAAAUCAUGUCCACACAAGUCAAUGGGUGGGAGAGAGAGGAGAGAACAAAUGAGAAUUCGUGAAAUUACCGAAAAGCCUAUUUUGGUUGAGAGAGAGAGGUUAGUAAAGAUAAGGGGCAGUCACGUAAUAAAACAGUUUGAGUGUUUUGCAGUAGUAAAAAGUGGAUUUCAUAAUCAUAGUUAAGCUUAGUGGCCAACAUUUACUUUUAAAUUCGUUUUUCUUUUUCGUUUGUAAAUUUAAUCUCCCAACGUUGAUGAAGUUUGACUGAUCCAUCACACAUAUUUUGUAAUAAUCCUUUUUCUUAUAGCAUUAACUAAUUUUAUGGAACAAAUAAAAUUUUAUUUACAAACAUUGAGUAUUCUUUCUUAUUCAACUUUAGGUUUUUUUUUUAAAUAAGAAAUAAUUGGGACACAAUGACAUAGUAACUUGUGACGUAACUAGAAACACAAUGGUUAGACUAUGUAAAUCAGUAAAUGUAAAAUAUGGUUACACAACAUAAUUUGCACACAAAUAGUGAACUAUUGCAAAUUUGCAAUGCUUAGACUCUCUUAAAUAUAUUAACCCUGGUAAAAAUGGUAAGAGGAUGAGAAUACUUAUAAUUUAAUGACGAAUUAAAUAUGUAUUUACGUCGUAAUUAAUGUGUAACUAUAUAAGUAUAUAACUAUACUUGGUAAUUAAGUACAUUUACUUCGUUGUCAUAAUAUAUUAUUAGUGAACAGGUGCAUUUAAGCAGAGCAUUUAAUUAGAAACACUGUAUUAAAAAAAAAAAACCUUUUUCAUCCGUAAUGUCUAGAGAAGAUAAAACAAAUUUCAGAUUUUGUCUGAACCGAGCAUUAAUCUUGAUUUCUUCUUGGAUUCCCUUUUAGAUUUUAAGUCAAUCCUAAUAAAUAACUAGCAUCACAUAUUUAAAGCAUUCAAAUUAUAUAAAAUAAAAUAAAAUAAACCUUGUCAAGUAUAUUUUAAAUGAACCAAACCACUGAAUUAAAUGUUAUAAUGUUAUAUAAAUCUAGUACUACAUCUAUCUGUUUUGGAUUGCAUUAACAACAAUACAAUUGAGUUUUUUAAACAUCACAAUGUGUUAAAAAUAAAUAUAUAAUAAUAUUAUCUCAUAAUUCCCUUAAUUAUAUAAUUAUUAUUUUAAUUAGAAGAAAAAGAGAUGAAAAUUAAGAAAAGAGCAUCAGAGUGAAAUGGGGCAUUUAAAAAAUGAAACCACAGAAAAAACAUAACAACCAACUCUUUUACUACACCAACUACUCUCUAGUCUACAUCUUUCUUUCCAUCAAAACCUUAAAAUAAUUUGCUCUCUACAUCAUCUCAGUUUUUGACUAUUCAAGCUUAAUUAAUAAUAACAAUAAAGGCAAUUGAAAUAGCUUUCUCUCAAGGGUUUCUUCUUCUGGGGUACAAUUUUACAUUACUGCCUUAUUAAGGUGGGUGGUGCCUAGGCACGAUAUAGGGGUCAAGAUAGUAGAAAGAUCAAAACGUACAUUUAUAUAUAUAUAUUUAAGAGUGAAUAGUAGAAAUGUCAUCACCAAGAGAAAGGGCUAGCUCCUUGCAAGAACACUUCAUUCUCCACAUCUUUUACCCUUUGGCAAACCUGAUUGCAUGUCUUUAUCGCCAUCGCCUGCCAUAUGAUUUUCAUCGAUAUCGAUAUCAAAGAUCUGAUUUACGCUAUUCUUUGACUUCAUAGGAAAGUUUUUAAUGAAUCUCACCUUGUCUGCAAGUGGAUCAAAUGCUGCAUAGAGCUCAAAAUCUGGUGUGACCCAACAUAGAAGAGCUGUAGUAAAAAAGAUUUGUUAGUUUUUCACAACAAAAAGGAUUUUCAUAUUUUCGUAAAACAUGUGUGCAUAUUCGAACUUACUGUAAUUCUCGUCUCUUCUAUAUUGAGUCUUGUGGGGUCCCAAUCCUUUGUCAUGCAUUGAAGCGUAAAGUUUCUGGUAUGCUCGAAAUAGACUGCAACAACACAACUACUACAUCAGUACUUUUCAAUUCCACGAACUAACUAUUUGGUUUCCCAAUGUUGAUUCAUGACUUUACCUUUUUUGUUGUCUGUGACUAGUUACGGGGGGUGAGAGUUCAGAGGAAAUGUAUUGAUCUAAGUAUAUACUACGGUACAUGAAAUGCCAAAUUCCAAAGGGACCUCCCGUCCCCACAGAAACCUCGGGACCAACUGUAUCUUGUCCCUGAUCAGUAGUAGAUGAUCGCCGCCUACGGUCUAUUGGUAAAUCUUCAACACGCAUUCCACCUUCUGCGAUGGAUCUUUGAACCACACUAAGAAUAUUUGACUUGAGGAGAACAGCCUCAAGGCGAAUCCUAACCAUAUACAAGUUUAUGGAACUCAAUAACAUGCUUAUUAACAAAUUUUACCAUGUAAGAGAACACAACUAUCUUCAAGUAUGAAAGCUAUUUUUACCGGCAAUCUUUGAGAUGAUGGAAGGCAUCUGAACGCGUGGUAAGCAAUAUUACAUAUGUAUCAUCCUGCAUUACCGAGUACAUUAAUACUUUCACAUUGUGCACUGUAGAUGAGUUUUACAAGUAUUUGACUCACAUCAAAGAAGUGGACAUAGGCAUGCAAAAAGGCCUGAGAGUUGUAUCUAGGUAGGCAGAUUGGUGAGAAAGAUUCUGAUGUCCUGUUAGCGGAGAGGAAGCUGUGAGAACAAGCUACACAAAACAUGUGUAUAGUUCACUGUGGGUACAUGAACAAAAUAUUUAGCACUUGCCUGAAUGAUUCUGAUGACAUGACAAAAUUUGAGAGUAAAAGCAAGUCAUCAGGAUGGAGAGACGCUUUCUGUGCACCAGCAAGACUGACAACCUGAAAGUCAUACAAACAGUCAUCAACUAUGAUGGAUUUCCUAGCUACAAGACUUUGACUUUUUGAACACGGGGGUUUACCUUGUGUUUGCACAGUAGUAGUGAGAACAAGACACCAGAUGCACAAAUUUCUUGCAGUACGGUCCCCGUAGCUUGCCUUAACGCAUAUGGAAGGGGAAGACAAGUAUAGGCAUGAAGAAAUGUAGCUGGGUUCCUAAAAAUGGGAAAAUCAUCUCGAAGAUUAUUAUAACUUUUUUACCUGAAGCGCAGAGGUAGACCAAAAAGAGAGAAGAUGUAAUGUGUAUAGCAACAGUUCUACAUCUGUGGGAAGGAUAGUAAAUAGACUCUAAAAACUAUAUAAAUCUUAAAGGCUUGUACUUUAUACGUAGAUAUUGUAUUAUAUACUUUGAUAAUAGUUGGAAAUCUUCAUCUUCCACCAAUAAUCUCUUAUUACUUUAUGUUAAAAAUAUCUUCAAUUAUAUUGUUAAAGAGUUACGAAUUAGAGACAAACCAGCUAAAAGAAUGGACAAGAGAUGAGAAGACAGCUUCUGUCCCUCCAAGCAAGGGUGUCAUAUCAAACUUUGCAUUCUUCUCGAAACAUCUGUCUAUGGACUUUGUUAAAAUUAGUAUCAUCUGCAUCACCAUUAUUGCAUUUUGGUUAUUUAAAUCGCACACUCAAACAUGAAAAUUUUCAAAAGAAAGGAUACACAGCAGUGUAUUGUUACCUGACCAUAUAGAAGAUCCAACUGCCCCCUUAAAUAUUCAUACGUUUCAUCUGUACAGCUUAUGCAGACGAGGUAUAUUGGCCCCUUCACCAGAAAGACAACCUGAGUUUCACCAGGACAUCUCAUUUUAAAAUGUUUGUAAUCUCUUAUCAACAGUGAUUUUAAUCAAUAAUCAGACAUGACAUCUCUCUAAUUAAUAUCUCCAUGACAGUGUAAGCAAAUGAAACACUUUGCUUGCUGAGAUUUAAUGAAGCAGUGUAUCUAGUGGUAAACUAUUAUAGGCACCACUGCCAAGCUGAGUAAUUGAGAGUUAAGGGAAAUUUUAAUACCUGGUGUUUUCCUGCCUUGACUAAAUUGACACGGUCACCACUAAAAUAAACAAUGGGUUAGGCAUCAAACAUUAAAGACAAAAAUAACCAUAAAGAAAAAUUCAGCAGACAAAGCUAGUGCAUAUUUUACCCAUUCUCCACAAAAGAAAUAAUAGCUUGAAGAGUAGCUGAGAAUCCAGCAAGCUUAUGUUCAUCUCCAUAUCUAAAAGAUACAAUGAUUAAAAAAAGAAAUGCAACAAGAAUAAAUCAGUUAAAACGAUAAAAUCCACACUACAGCCAUUCGCUAUCUGGUGAUUCAAUAUGAAGAAAUGGCUAAACCUGGAAUAUAUCGGUUUGCCAGAGUUACUCAAUAUGAAAAAAUGCUUCUUCCUCUUUCUCCAUGAAAUAGAAGCAUCAUCCUGCGUUUUUUAUAUUAAAAGUGUGUUCUCAGAGUUCCAUCUACUGCUGAUGAGAAGAUAAUCACUAUUGAUCAGUUUCGCAUGCAUAACUCCCUAAACAUUUUCCACAGUUCUGACAUUGAAUAAAUUCCACAGCAUUCUUGAUCAACUAAGUCCUCGUAUGCAAGAUCACAAUUUAUCAUGAAUGUGACACUAAAGAACUCAAAAUCCAACAAUCCAUGGCGGAAACUGAAUACUGUCGACAACUAUGACUCUGGGCGCAAAUUCUUGAACUGAUCUUGUAACCUAGAACUAGAGUUUAAGGAGCUAUAUAUAAAACUGACCUCAUCAACAUGGCGUUUUCCAGGCAACCAAGCCGCUUCAUGCUGCGAGGCAGUGUCACCAUCCACAUUAGCUUCCCGAAUCUCAUCCUCACUAGCAUCAUCAGCUUUAUAAGUAGAGGUAGCUCCGCCGCUACUCCCUCUCUCUCCAUCAUAACCGCUACUAGUCGGACUCGGCGGCUCUUCCCCUGCUUCCAUUUCCACGGGAUUCUCCGCCCUUAACGACGCAUCUAUCUCCUCUCCUCCGCUAGCUCCCGCCACAACUUCAUGCACUAAACCACCAUUGAUAACUCCGCCUUCGUUCCCGUUGGCCGAUGCAACCUCGUCUUGAUCAUCGCCGCCGCUGUAAUCCGUGCGAGUGCUGCCAUCGGAUACUUCGCUAGGUUGAGACAAAUUCAUUGACUCUAAUUGACUUUGAACACGCUCCGAAUUCGUCUCUGGAUCGGUACUAGGGUUUGGAUCGGCGAAUUCGGUGCCUGAUGAUGAUGAUGAAGGUGAAGAGCUCGAAUCUGAAGUCGCCAUUGCUGAAAUCGAAUCGAUAGAGAUAUUUUUUCAACGGAGAGGAGAGGAAUUUGAUGGUCUCCUCCUUUAAUGGCAAGUCGUGUUGUUCAUUUGCUUCUCUGCGAAUUUCACUUUGUCCACUCGCAUCGAGGAGGAGGAGGAUGAUUCACGAUUUCUCCAACGGAUCCACCGAUCCUGGUUUCAAUUGGAUAUAUUCGACCCGCUUCAUGACGCGUCUCGUUGGGCUUUUUCGCGAUUAGAGAGAGAGAGGUUCGGAUCUCAUUUACUUAUUAUGGGCCUUGGGCCUAUUUUGAAAUAACGUCAAAUACGUUUUAUGUUUCCAUAAGUUAUACACUAGGAGAACAAAACACUAGGAGAACAAAACAAUAUGGUUAUAUUUUUUUUUUUUUUUUUUUUUUUUUUUGAUAAACCCGAUCGGCUGAUCAGGUCAGCUCUGGGAGGAUCACACCGAAGUGCUACAAUGUGGACUCGUCGCCAAUACCUAGGUGUUGGGCUACCACAUCGCCUGAAUCCAGAUUAACGCUUUCCGACUAAUGCUCGGGGCUAAUCAGGCCGCCUGCAUUUCUGAUUACCAGGUAAACCAAUUGAACCUAAGCUCAACUGACAGACUUCCCACAAAGAUGAUGUUAACAGCAAAGUGGAGAAUUGAACCCAGGUUGUGGGAGUUGCACCCUUCCUCCAAGCUCCCCUACCACUAGUCCACCACCUCUUGGGCAAUAUGGUUAUAUGUGACUUGUUACACUAGCAAAGUAGCAAUAUGAUCAUAUUGUGAGUAAAAUCAAUGUUGUCACUAUAAUGCGGAUCUUUCUCAUCAUUCAUGAUCGCAACACGAACGCUCAAAAAUUUCCAACUACGACCGAUCAUUCGAUUUCUAAUCUCUCGACGGUUCGAUCUAUUAAUAAAGUCUUUUGCAGAUGAAGGAACUUCACAUUCUAAGAAAUGAGAGUCUUUUUGUUUACUUUUUAUGGUUGGGCCAAUAAAACUCAACAUUGACUUUCACUUUCUCUAUUGGUUUUGAUUGCUUCCAUUUGACCAAAACCUUUAUAUAUCUCUUUUCUAUAGUCAAUAUUUUGGAAAUGUGAGGGAUGCAUAAAUAUUGUAAACAAAACACGUGAAAGAGACGUACUUAAAAUUGUCAUAACAGCCGAUGAAGUCUUUUAUUAUUGGAAAAAGACAAAGAAAAGAAUAGUGAGAAGAAAGAAAGACAUUUAAAUUUGACAUUUUGUUAAUUUGGAUUGUAGCGAUAAUAAUAUAUAUAUAUAUAUACCAAUUUUAUUAUAAUCGUUUUCGUCGAUUAGGUAAAAGCUAAAAAAAACUAGAAGGAGGAAAAAGACAAGAGUGGAAUAAAUACGACAAGACCAACGCACAUAAAACGUCGAACGACUCGACUUUGUUUCAUAUGUUCGGUUCGGUCAUCACUUACGUUGAGAGCAAAUACUCUUCAAGGAUCAUUUUUUUUUUAAUAAAAUUUCUGAUAAUAUAUAUAACUUUCACGAUUACAUGAAAAUAGAAAAAAAGGUGCCACAACGACAACGAACUCCGGGAUGAACAAACCCGGUACAAGAACUAUAAAGAAGAGGAUACAAUAAAUAUAUAUAAAAAUUAGAGAAAGAGUCCUCUAAACCAUAGAUUAAGCAUGCCUUGGAACUUUGGAAUGUCUUUCCUCGCUAGGCAAGUGUUUCGGAUUCGCCUAUCAAGAAUAGGGAAAAGAGCUUCGACCGGAGUGCGAAUACCGGUAUAGAUGCGAGCAUUUCUUUCAUGCCAAAGAGAGUAAAUAACUGCUUGAGCCAAGAGAAGCUUUAAUGGCGCCAUUUUGGGGUCAUUUGAUGUAGCUUUAAGCCACAUGAGGAACCUAUCCCAGUUGUUGAAGCCUGCGAAUGGGAUCUGAAGUUUUUCAAGACCCCAUCUCCAAAGGUCAUAGCUAUAUGGGCAGGUUAGAAAGAGAUGAUCUCUUGUCUCAAAGUAGAUCUCGCAAAGGUAGCAAGUAUCAUCUUCUAAGAUUCCCCAUUUUCUGAGCCUUGAUAGAGUUGGAAGUCUAUCUAGGCAACUUAACCACAAAAUAAAAGAGUGCUUUGGGAUAGACCCUGAAAACCAGACCUGGUGGUGCCAAGUCACCUCUUGUGAAUGUGUCUUAACGAGCUUCCAAGUUUCAGCGAAAUUGAACUGGUUUCUAGGAUCUCCAUGUGGUCUAGCCCAUAAGUAGGUGUCCUUAACAUCCUCAUUAAUUUCUAUUUCAGCGAGAUGUCUUAAGAGGAGUUCAGUCUCAUUGCUGCGGGCACCUCUAAAGAUCCAUCCAUCACUAGUGCGAGCCUUGGCCACAGUUGAGUCUAACAGGAGACCUAACCUUUGGUGUUCUUAGGGCCUAGGUAAGAAAACAAGUUUCCGAAUGGAGUCCAAUUAUCAAACCAAAAGGAACAAGAUUUACCAUUUCCAACUUUGCAAGAGAGGAAUGUUUUGGCAGUGGAUCUUAGCUUGAGAAGCUGCUUCCACAUUGAUGAACCCUGACUGUUAAUAGAGAGGUUCCAAAAACUCUUCAAGGAUCAUAUUAUUAUUAUUACGGCAUCUGUGGGGGUUGCAGCACUUGAGAGGUACAUUUACCCGAAUAUUUACAGUUUUUGCCACUGGCUUUGUUUACGUUUAGAAAUUGACAUUGUCCAUUACCAAACUAAAUAUGGCCACGAGAGCUUUUGUUUUUUUAUUUUUUUAUACAUACGCAUUCAUUUUCAACCGUUUAUGCAUAUUGAUUAAAAGACGUGCUUUGGAAUUUUAUCUUCAUUGUUGAAAAUUAUAAAACUCAUCUUCUUGUGUUGUUGGUUUAGAAGAAAAUUUUGUUUAUAAUUAGGUUGUUUUACUUAUUAAGAUAUGGUUUGGGAAUAUUAUACUAAUUUGUAGGAAUUUGAGGUUUGCCUUUUACAUCUAUUUGUCAUUAUCAGAACUAAUCAAGAUAUGAGCUGUAUUACUAUAGUAUACAUCGUAUUCGUCUAUCUUUGUCGAGAUGGUACAUGUAACCUAAGAGAUUAGUAUUUAUACCUAGUUACUUAACACACUUGCUUUUCUAGAAAAACUAGUAAAAUAAUAGAUUAGUAUUUAUAUAUGAAGUUUAUGCGAAUAGCAAGUAAACAACUAAUCAAGUGAGUACAAGUUUAUAAAUAUUAUUUAAGUUUUUCAUAAAGAAGAUGAUACAAAUCCGAGACCAGGAAAACCACUAAACUUUAUACUCUUAAGACAUAACCUAACACUUAAAUCUUAGCAAUAUCAUCUCAUGGAUGUGGUUGUCAGUUUGUCACUCUCUUUACACUUUUCAAAACGUUAUCUCGUUACAGCCUAGAAACCAAUCUUUGGAAGACAUCACAUCAGUAUUCCAAAUGAUUUCGGCAUCUCUCGUGGUGUAUAGCUUUUGUUUAUUUUUCUGAUCCGUGGUGAUGAUCUCUCGAAAAUGGCUAAGAAUAAACAUAAAAUGCGAAUACUAAUUAAUUGAAAUUCUACAUGGACACAGUUUGUAUUCCAAAAUUAGUAAAUGAUUCAUUUAAUAUUUUUAAUAUAUACUUAAAAAGUUUGAAAUGAUUAUAUAAAAUUAUUUCAUUGGUUUUUUUUACUAGCUUGUGUCACAAAUUAAUAUAAUUUUAAAUUUCUCCUUAUAUAUGGCUUGAAACUAGCUAGAGCAUCGAUAACGUUUUUGACAUUGGAUUUAAUUGUAUAUUAAUUUUACUUGUAUAGUACUCUGCCAAGUGUCAUGUAUUGUUAAAUAUAUGUUGGUACCUUACACAAUAAUUCAAAACUUUAAUAGAACAAGUGUUACAAGUUAAAACGUAUAACAUCGAUUUUGUAUUGUUUAAAUAUAUUCCUUUUUUGUAGAUAUUAUAAAUAAUAGAAACUACCGAAAACACAAUUUUUAGAUUACACCUGAUAUAUCUUGAAAUGUAUAAAACAUAAUAUUUGUGUUCGAUCGAAUUUUUUAUUUUAUUUUUUUCCAACUUCUCAAAUCUGAUACAAAACAUAUACAUAUAUAUAUAUAUAUAUAUGUAUAUAUAUAUAAUUAUUGAAAAUUUGUUAUUUUAGGUACGAGAUCUAGGUUUUUGAUAUAUAAUUAAUAAGAACAUCGACCUAAUAGAGUAAUUGUUACGUCAAUGCAACGUUAAAAGUUUUUAAUAUGUGUAACUAAAUUAGUUAAUUUAUCUAGAUCUUAUCCAAACAAGUGAUCUAUCCACAUAAAACGCCUAACAUUAUGUUGUGCGUACUCGAUCCAAGACAUUUAUCCAAUAUUAUUAUCCUCAUGGUCUACUUCAUUUACUAGUAAAAUUAUUAUAUAACUAAACAUCUUAAAAUCAUAUAAUAAGAAUGAACCAACCAGAUUUGUUUGUUACACUAUAUACACAAUUACGAAUAAUUGGAUUAGCUGAUAAGAAUUAAAAGAGAGAGAGAGAGGAUCGAAACAUAUGCCGACCAAACACUUGUAUGAUUAAAGACAACGCACCAUGUCUCCAUCUGUCAAAUAAUCCCAAAUUCAUAGCCACAUGAUUAACUAAUAAUUAGUAUAUUAAUCCUUUUGUUAGCAAAUAACAAUCAUAGUCAUUGUAAAUUACCUCUCGUUGACGAUUAUAUAUUGUUCUUACAUAAACAACUAAAUUAUAAACCAAGGGGAGAUAGAAGAAUCUAAUUUUUACAACUAUAAAAAUAAGUUGACGAAUAAGAGUAAAAAAAAAAAAAAACAACAAAGAAAUACCAAGUCAAAUUUCAUAUUUGGUGUCUCAAAAUUUCAAUACAAUCUUAAAGUAAAUAAAGAAAACAAAAUGUGAAUCAAGAAAUAACAACUCUUACAAAUUCCGAAUUUAGUCCCUCAUAUUUUUUUAUAUGUAGUAACCCCCCCCCCCCCCCAAUUUUCACUAAAAAGAUAAAAUUAAUCUUCGAUCCCUCUAAUUUUAAAAAUAGUAUUACGAACCCUACUCAGAUCUCUUCCUUUCAAAGUCCUACCAGCACCUUCAUGAACCGAGAACGAAGCCAUUCUCCGGUUAGCUAUCAACUCAUGCGGCGGAACACGCCGUGCACAUCCCUCUUCUUCUUCUUCUUCUUCUUCUUCUUCCUCAUGGCUCUGUCUUUUACUCUCUUCACCAAGAAUCUUUGACCAGUCCGGUACGUUGACCGGUAAAGAAGACGCAGCAGCUUUCCGGUUAGUUUUGGUUCGACCGGAAGUGAUAGUGAGAUCACUAAAGGUGAAACUAGGAGAGGAAUCAGAACCGGUGGUGGUGUUGUAAAGAUCCCAUUCGUCUAGCUCGAAAUCGGACGGUGCGGUGGUGGUGAUGACGUGUUGGUCGUUGGUGAAGAAACGGUGGCUUGGUCGUUGGUAGUAGCACUUGCUCGUCGCCAUUUUCAAGAAGAACAAGAAAGAAGAAGAAAUGAAACUAAAACUCUUUUUUUUUGGGUUUAGUUAUAAAAAAAAGGUUUUUAAAGAUUCGUUCUCUUUUGGCUUUGGUUGCUUUGUAUUUAUAUAUAAAGAGGAGUUAGCUUGGUGUAAAGGUUUAAAGGUCAAUGGAUAAGAGUUUUCAACACCUCUCCUUCGUGUUGUAAAUUUUUCUUGAUGGACUCACAUUUUUCUGUGAAAUUACUUAUAUGCCCUUGGAAAUUUCGUGGAAGUUUAAAAUUUUUUCUUUUUUCUUUUUUGCGGUGUGUUUUUAUCCAAAGGAAAUGAUGACUGUCAACAGAUUAGGGUUAUUCAAUUUUUCAAAGUCAUACACGAAACCCAUAAAAUGAUUAUAAAGAAAACAGAUUAGGGUUAUUCAAUUUUUUUCUUUUUGGAAUAAUAAUAAUACUGUGAAUAUUUGAAUCAUGUGUUAAUUAGUAGAACUUAGAAGUACAGAGUUUAUUAAACGUUUCUUCGAGUUUUCGUAGGAUUAUAAAUUGGAAACAUGUAACUCUUGUAAUGGAUCAUAUGCGACUGAAUGAAAUAGUUUGAUUUCGUCGAUACAUUGGGGUUUCACUUUUCAGACGUCCAAAGUCACAAGUUUUAUAUUUCCAUGGAUUUUAAAGUCAAUGUAAUAGUAUCUUCUUCCUUACUUUAAAAUAGUGAUACUUUUUUUUGUUCUUUUUUCGAAACAGAAUUAUAGUUUUCUUUUGUCGAAAAAAGAAUUAUAUUAAUUUGAAAUGUUAUUACAAGGGAUACUGGUAGCUAAAACAUGAGCAACUUCAUUACAAUGAAGAAAAAACGAAAAUAAUGAUCGUUACAAACUUUUUCCUUUUCUAAAAUAAAUAACCCAGUAAACAACUAAAAAUGUAAUAAUAAUUAACCAAACAUCUCGAUAGCAUAAAAUGUAAGUCUGCUAUAAAGAAUCAAUAAGGCGAAAAUGUAACUCUAAACAAACAUGUUUUUUCAUUCUUCUCAAUGUACAUGUUUUUUUUUUUUUUGGUAACAAUGUGAAGAUUUAUACUAGUUUUGAAAGUUCUGACAGAAUUACAAAGAAAACACGAAAAUGGAAAAACCGAAAACUACAGAAACCACUAAAUAUACAACACAACACAAAUAGAAAUUCGGGAGAAAAACAAGUGAAACACUAUAAACAGAGAUCCAAAAAGAAACACCGAAUCCGAACAAAGUUCAGAAAUUUUCUUCUUCUCAAUGUAGCAUGUUCCAUUGAAAGAUGUAGUAGUUUCACUUUCAUAAUCUAAUAUUAGAUAUCGUACAAAAGAGUACCUAGCUAGUUUAUGAUGAUCUUCAUUAGUGUUAAUCAACUUAACGAGUUUUAAAUCAUCUCCUUCAAACCAUAUACUGCAUUAUAUUGAUUCCUUAUGCCCACACCAGUUAAAGUAUAGUAAACAAUAUCAGUUAGAUUUUACCAAAUAAUAAUUGUGGUUUAAAUAAAUACUUUUAUUCUAAUUAAUUGAAUCACUAUUUCAAUUCUAAAUAUACAAUCUUAUUAACUUUUUUUUUUCUUUCUCUUUUGUAUGUUUUAUAUUUGUUUAUUUAGUGGUCAAUUUUUAUGUGAUCUAUAGAUAUUAAAUUGAAAAUUUUCGACAUUUAAAUAUAGUAGAUAAAUUUUUAAUAUUAAAACAAUACAACUAAGUAAAGUUCUUAAAUUAGAUCCCAAAACUUUAAACUAAUUAAAAAACUCGAGAGAGUGUAUAUAAUUUGAUUCAACAUCGACGUUAAGUAACAAAAUAAAUUUGUUUACACGUGUUGACAUAACACAAUGACCACGUAAUCUCCACUCACGAACACAAGUCACUAUCCGAACAAUCCAAGAAAGGUCGAAACUGUAAAAUCCCUCCAAGUGAAUGAGAUAGGAAGAGAGGCCAAUGUCAUCGUACGAUGUCGAUGAGAUGAAGAGAGGUGUGUCGUGUGUGUGUUGUUCUGUCUUCAGCUUAUCCCAAAACCUGACAAAACAAAAGUUUCAAUCUCUAAAUAACGUCUGUCUUAAUCUCAAAGGAUAGCUAGAAGACAAUAUACGAUCAUUCUCAUAAUUGGUCCCAAAUAGCCACGUGGCGGCUUCACCAACGUGAUCCACGUGGAGAGAUGAGCUUUCCGUGUACGACUUGUGUGGCGUGGUGGUGGCACGUGACUGCUCCAACCUUAUUGGUUUAGAAACGACGUCGUUGUCAGGUUCUUCGAAUUACGCAUCCUUCGAUAACAUUUGUUGCUAAACGACGAAAUUGGUUCGUCGGAGGAAAGCAACAUUAAUACCUGAAAAUAACGGCAAGGUGUGUGUAGCUCUACUUGAGAAACGAUAGAGCUUGUUUUUAAAGCAAAUGUUUCUGAAGACCCAUUAGGCCCAGCUCGUUUGAGUACUAGCCCGUUUGGCCCGUUUGGCCCGUUUGGCCCGUUUUGGCCCGUUUACUUAACAUUCUUUUCUUUUUUUUUUAAUAACAAUUUACAUUGAAUUUAUUAAUUUGAUGAAUAAAUUAUAAUUUUUUUUUUGUAAUUUUCAUUUUCGAUGUAUUUCUCUCUUUUUCAAGUAAUCAGUACAUUAUAUUAUUUAUUUUAUUUUCAUGGGAGUUAUUGACGAUAAUAAACACAUUUACUUAGACUUUGAAGAUGUAAUAAAAUUAGAGUCUUCUUUUUUCCCCAAGAAAAGGUAGCUUCAAUGAUGUCAUUAGAUGUAUAUAUUACUACGUUUGAAUCUUAAUAUCAUUAGAUAGUUACAAUUAUGCCAAUCAUUAGGUUAUUAACCCCUGAUUUAUUAUUUUUACUACUUUAUUAUUAAAAAAUCUUAAUAAUGUAAAUUAAAAUCAACAAAAAUAGUAGCAUAAACAAUUCUUAGAAGGGGUGCAAAGACAGGCUCCUACUUUCCUCUUCUUCACGCACAUAGACUCACACUUUUCUUUAACACAAUUGGAUUUUGUCAAAAUCUCACUACAUUGUUUCUUUUGUUUUCCUAGCUCCUCAUUUGCCACCACUCCUGUUACAAUAUUAUGUUUAAAACGCAAAAAUCUUAAUUUGUGUAUCUAAAAUUACUUGUUAUGCAUAGAUACACUUUGAGUUGUUAGAUACGAAUAGUUAUUCUUGAAAAUAAUAUAAGAUUGUAACUUAAUCAUACGAAAUAAUGUGAAAACAUUAAAAAAAUAAUGUGAAAGCAUUAUGCAAAUUUACACACCAGAAUAUGAUAUUACUAUUAAAUAAUAAACUAUAGAUUGAAAUAUUAUCUAUGUGGCACCAAAGGAGGAGAAAUGAUGAUGAGUCAAAGGAAAAUUUGUUAAAUCAAUGUAUAUUAAAAUAAUCUUCAUAUAAUCACACACAUUAAAAAAUAGGAACUAACCAAAAUAUAUGCUUGGGGUUGGUAUUCUAGAUCUAGUACAAAUAAAUAAUCUCCAUUAUUUAGCUAUGUAUGAAAAAAAUCUCUAUUUGAUAUUAUGAAAUUCUUGAUUGAAUAUAUAUUUGACUACAGCUAUUUUCUUCUAUAAAUAUUUUAUGUUAUAUAUAUUAAGAUGAAAAUAAAUGUAGAUACAAACCUAACACAAGAAUGGUGAAGAUAAUCAUAACAGUGAAUGAGAGUUGAAAAGGUUUCUUCAUCAUGAAUAGUUUUUAAACUUUGUAAAAAAGAACAAAAUGAAGUUUUUUGUGUUUUGUUUUCGUUUAACCUUAACAAAAAGUAACUAUAUAUAUUAAGCUAUAUGUGUCUCUGAAUUAAAGGAUCUAGUUUGACCCUAAAGUUUUGUUUAUGAUAGACACAAGCUUUAAACUCGCUUGCGCUAUUCUCCUUCACCAUAAAUAUUAUUUUUAAUUUGAACAAAACAUGUCUCUCAUAUGUUGAUAAAUCAACUUUUUUUUGUGUGUUAUAAGAAGUUGAGACAUCAUUAAAAUUAUAAAUCAACAAAACAAGUAAUACACAUUAGAUUUGAUUAAAGAUUCAAAAAUUAAUACAUAAAGAUUCAAAAAUUAAUACAUUACUAGCUGCAAUUUUUUUGAUGUUUUCUUAUUCAAUAGUUUAUUCUUUUUAUCAUAUCAUACGUAAUUUCAUUUGAAUAUAACACAUAUUUUCAAGGUUUUGAAAGGAAAUAAUUUUUUUUUUUUUUUUCAUGUUGCAUAAUGUUGUGAUAUUGCUUCAAAACAACUACUAUCAAGAGAUUUGAAAUUAUAUUGCCAUAUUUGAUGUUUAGAUUUCAUGAAAUGAUGAAGUAAAGAUCACAUGAUUUUAUAAGAAUAAUAAUCUUAGUUCGAUUCACUGUUGAUGGUUUGUGAGAUUUUAAUAUAUGAUGUAGUCAUAGAUUAAAUCAUAAUUCAUAAAUCCAACAUUAUAGGAAAGAAAUGUUCAACAUUCGUCUCAAUUGUUAAGAGUUCAAGAAUUUUUUUUUAUACAUGAUAGUAUUAUAAUUACUACACUUAUUAACAUCUUAUGCUAUCCUUCAAACUUUUAAGGUAUCUUAUUUCUAUCGAACUAAAGAUUAUUUAGUGAAUGUUCUGCAAUUUGUAUUGAUUUGAAUGAGCAUAUAAGUAAUCCACAAAAAUCACGUGAUCUAUGGAAUUUGGAUCCCUCAUAAGAGAAAAUUCAUGUGAAGUAAAAGCUGAGGAGUGUCACGUUAUAGUACAUGUGAAAACCAAUUAAAAUCCUUACCAACCGUCAAAAACUCUCUUUUCACACAUGAAACUGCAUGAAACAAUUGAUCAAAACUAUGGUAUUUAAUGAAUGAAAAUAAAAUAAAUUCAUUUAUAAAUCUUUUUUUAAGAGAACAAAAUAUGAAACUACGUAAAAGCUAUAAUUCAUGAACACGGAACCCAAAUUGUAUAUUUUGUUACAAAUUACUAAAUGAUUAAUGUACAACUUCUUCUGAUAAUGUCGAAUAUUUUUGACAAAUGUAAGUGUUUGAGAUUAAUAUUAAAAAGAAAAACAUAAUAUGUAAUAAUCAUCAAUGCAUAUUAAUAAAAUCACAAUCAGGAGGGCACAAAUGAAAAUUUUGACACAAUUAUAGGUGAUUAUUUCAUAUAAAAACGCAUAACUAGAACUUAAACGUUACCUAAUGAAAUAUAAGAGAAAUAAAAAACGUAAGAAACAAGAUUCAAUCUCGUGAGUAAAACUCACAAUCAAAAACUCACAAUCACAAUCAAAUAAAUUUUAAAUAUCCUUUUUUUUAGAGAAAAACAUAUGAAACUACUUGAAAGCUAAUUCAUGAAUAGUACUGAACCCAACUUGUAUCUUUUGUUACAAAUUACUAUAUGACUAAUGCAACUUAUUCUCAUAGUGUCGAAUAUUUUUGCCAAAUAUAAGUCUUUGAGACUAAUAUAAAAAAAAAAACAUAAUAUAUAAUCAGUGCAUAGUAAUAAAAUCACAAUCACUACAAAAAUUAACCUUUAUAGGUGAAUAUUUCAUAUAAAAGAUACGCAUAACCUAACCAAAUACUCUUAACAUACCUAAUGAAAAAUUAACAAAACAAAACGUAAGAAACAAGAUUCAAUCUCGUGAGUAAAACUCACAAUCAAAAAUUAGGAAGGCGUGAAGGGAAGAGAUGCAUGCUUGACCCCUCCUUGUGCCAUUAUAGAUUAGAGAUCGUCAUCGAUGUUGUGUGUUCCAAUGCAGGUGUGUUAUUAUUACACUCACUCACAUAAACUAUGUUUUAUAAAUACUUUUAAAUAUGUAUAGUAGUAUUUUGUUGCUGAUCCUUUAAGGGAAGACGAACUUGAAUUUAAUUAUAGGAUGCCAAAAGUUCAAUGAUGGUUCCUACUUCUCAUUCUACUACUUACUAAUCAUGCAAGUUAAAAAAAGUCGAGGAUGCUAACAACUAAAGGUUUAUGUGCUUAAGUAUCUUUAUUGGAGCAGUUCUACUCAUAUUUUUAAAAGUUAAUGUAGUAGUUUAGGCUAAGUAUAAACUCAGCCUAAGACCUUCACAAAUACCAGUCUUUGUGGGUUUUUAGUAGCUUUGGGGAUUUGGUAUUUCGGAUUUAUGGUUUUCUAAAGAUCUGGAUAAGGGUAACAAAUUAGACCAAAAUUAUUUUUGUCUGAUUCGACUUGGUUUGGAUUGGUUUAUGUUCUAGUUUGGUUUGUUUUGGGUUCAAGUUCGGUUCGUUUUUGGAUAUAAAAAAUUAAUUAAUAUUAUAUGUAUUUGAUUACAAUAUUUACUGAAUAUUAUUGAUUCGGUUUGGUUCCAAAUAUUUUUUUUCGUAAUUUCGAGUUCGAAUUGAUAAAUUUGGUUUGAUUUUUUUUUUUGGUCCAAAAUGUACUGAUUCUUUCAUCUCAAGGUCGAAACCAAAAUUGGUUUAGCAAAAUCUGAAGACAAUUUUGGGUUUUUAGUAAACCAAAAGAUUCCAAGGACCAUAGAAACAUAAAAAGGAAAUAAUAUGAUGGGAAAAGGUAGAGAAAUCAUGAGAAAUCAUAUUGUUCCCUUCUGUAAAUGUCUUAUCUUUUUCACCACCCAAUUUUUUUAAUAAUCCCAAGCAACAACCACUUUAUUUCACAUCACCUUAUAAAUUAGUUACCAACCUUGUCCUCAAAGUCUCAACCAAAACACAUCAAAACUUGUAGUCUUCCACAUUUUUAAGAAACCAAAGUAAGCUGAGAGUGAGAGAAAUGACUUCAUCAAAAGCUUGCCUCUUCUUCCUCUUAUCUUCUCUAAUCAUCACAAACUUCGUCUUAGCACAAGACCGAGCUCCUCACGGUUUGGCUUACGAGACUCCAGUGGCAUUUUCACCUUCAGCAUUUGACUUCUUUCACGCUCAACCAGAAAACCCUGAUGAUGCCACUUUUGACCCUUGCGCGGAAUCCGGCUGCUCGCCUCUUCCCGUGGCAGCUGCAAAGGUCCAAGGAGCUUCUGCUAAAGCACAAGAAAGCGAGAUAGCUUCAAUGUCGGUUGGUUCUAGAAGCAGAAUGGGAGCUAGUGGUAUGGUAGGGAUCAUCUUUGGACUCGCGUUCGCCGUGAUGAUGUGAAACCAUGAUAGGGAAUAUAUAGCUAGACUUUGAGUUGUAAUGUGUGCUUUUUUGCUUCCCUUUAACUAGAAAGCUUGUAUCUAAAUUUCCAUCUGCAGUGGUUAAUAGCAGAGUAUUUAUUUUUAUUGUUUAAAGUGUGUAAUUCUAGAGUUUAUGUUAUAGAUUUUGAAACCGCUUGAUUACAUCUAUUGAAAGAGUUUAUGUUAGAAACCUCGAGUUCAAAAGUUUGAGAAAAAUGAAAGGGGAAAAUAAUUUUGUCUUCAACUUUUUUAACUACCAUUUUUCAAUAUUUUGAAUGUACUUUUUUUUUCUAUAAAUAUUAUAUUGAAAAGGCCCUCAUUUUUAUUAAACUUAAGUCCCUAUCAUCCUAGCCAUAAGAGCAUCUUUAAUGGCAUAAGCUUGAAGAUGUAGCUUAGUGUUUUUUUAGUAUAUUAAUAAUGUAAUAGUGUAUAUUAAGAACCCACAAAUAUAUAGGUAAUUAUGGGUUGAACUUGUAGGAUGUUAAAUUUAUAAUAAUAAAAUAAUAUAAAACAUAUUAAUAUUUUUUUAAUUAAUUAAAUAAAUAAUUGAAACAUAUAAAUUAAAAUGAGAUACUUCAAAAGUAUGUUUUAUAUUGAAGAGAAGCUAUAGUUUGAAGUCCAUCACAAAUAAGAAACAUAUCACUGCUUAAGUUGCAAAACUGUCUACUACUAUCAUCCAAUCACAUGGAGGAAGUUUGUUGAGCUUCUUUACAUGCUGGUUUGAUUUAAGCUUUUGUUUGUGUAUAUAUAGAGAGCUAAGAGUGUUGAGAUGAAACAGAAGGACACCUAACUGUGUUAGGAUUGAAGCAAGGUCCGUUCUGGUGAAUGGGUACACAAUCAGCUCCUGCACCACAUGCGUAGUCCAAUGUCUUCUGCAGCAUUGCCUCGCUCAACCCUUCUCUGCAUUCACACCAUGUUCCACCUAAACACAUAAAACCCCAUAUAAGACAUUCAUAACCAUUUGUGACUUUUCUGUUCUAAAAGAGAGUGGGAGAAAGGAGGAAUUUUUGUGAAACAAAAUGACAAAAAAAAAAGAAGAAUCUCUUUUCCCAUCAAAAGAAAAGAAGAGGAUCUAUAUGAGACAGAGAAUGGUUAUUUUAUUAAAACAUUGCAGGGUUUGACACAGAAAAGAUAUUUUUACUUGAGUGGCCAGCCAUGGCCAACAAAAUCACGGCAAGAACAACAACAUCCAUAGUCGCUGCACACAGAACCAAGCACUUUUGGAUGCAGCUAGUGGCAGGGAGAGAGAACAGCCAUAGUCACUGACAUGAUCUACAUCUAAACAUGCAAAAAUCAACAGCAUAAUCUUAAACAUAGUGAAGAUGCUGAAGGUAGAAAAACGAAUAGGGUUACAAAACUAAAACAAGAGCAGAUAUUUCUUAUGUUGUUUACAAGCUCUGCUCGUUCUCCUCUUCAUACGACACAACAUCCAUAUCGUAUUACUUAACGGUUUCACAUAUUCUAGUUCGACAUCUUGUUUAAACACAGAGAGAAGAUCAUAUACAUUAUUUUGUUACUAUAAAAGUUACUAUGGUUAUACAACUAAUUCAAUGUAUCAUUUGUGUUGUCAUACAGAGAAUCACUAAACAAGAAACAGAGAAGUAAAAUAGAUUACCUUGUUCACAAUGAGCUCACAUUGAGUACCCAGAUUAGCUAUAACAUCCAACAAAAAAAGACCCAGAAACUGCAUAUAGAAAACAAUAGAGAUGAAUGUCAAAUAGAAAGAGAUCUUACUUACAUGAAGAUAUGCAGAGAGAGAUGAUUCUAUGGGCACAACACUUUUAAACUGGAGGGGAGACACUUGUGCUGAAGCAGUAAAGAUUUCAGUUAGCUGACGAGAAACAAGAGGAAUAUCCAUGCUGCUUAGUGCUUUUACUAGGAAACAAUUGUAAUGAAAUAACUAGUUUUUACCUGGUCACAAAGAUGGCGGUAGGAUUGCCCGGAGAUGGAGGACGAAUCUGCUCCAGCACUGAAGCAUGUGGACCAGCUUUUGAAACAUUAUCAGGGUCACCUGCAGAAUAUACUUCAACCUCUUCAAGACCAAGUUGCCGCUUGAUCAAUUGAUCAAGUCCAUGUUACUCUGAAGGACAUCAAUCUCUCCAAACGGCAACCUCAAAUUUAAAGCCUAAGUGCCAAUAGAUAUUGUCUCAUCCUUCUUGAAUUUAACGAAAGGCAUGCAGAGCUUCUUAGCAUCUGUCUUGCUUGUUACUAUUCCCUCCUUCAGCAAUAUUUCUGUUAUUUCUGCUAGUAUCUCUUCAUCAGGGGCAAAACAACAGGUUUGUUGGUUAAAUUUCCUUUGCAGGAUCAUGAGGCAGUGAGCUUUCCAUCCAUCAAAUUGCUCAUUCACAUAUACUAGGCCUUUUAACUUCCGCUCUGGCACUUAAACACCUUUUUUUAACAAGCCUUCUUGGAACCUGGGAGCUGAUUUUGUAGAAGCUUUCUCAUCUAUACAGUUUAAAAAUAUCUAAAUGAAACCAUUGAACUAAAUACCAGAACAAAUAUCAAACCAACAAGACAUCCAAAUCCUCUUUCAAUUUGUUGCAUGUACCUGAGUUAUAUCGAUCUGAAGAUUGAGAGACAGAACGGACGAGAUGGUGAGGAGGAGAUGGAGGAGAUCGACAACACGGUGACGAGGACUCGGAGGAGACGGAAAAGACAGUGGAUGAGCCGGAGAAGACGAAAAGCUUGUUCUCUCGUCGAAUCGCACAGCUAGGGUUCGAGAGAAACAUUUGGGGAUUUUGCUUUUCUUUCACUGGCCAAAAACAAAAAUCUUUUCGAAAAAUAAAAAUAACACCCUAUCAGAAAAUAACACGUGGCUUAAGACUCCCACACAAAAACAUCUUGGACAAACACCGAAUGGACCUUCAAAAUCCACUGUUACAAUUAUCUGGGUUUUGUUUAUUCUUCUAAGGGCCGACGAAAUGCAGCGUUAAAGAUGCCCUAACCAUGUUUACUGCAUAACCAUAUCAAAACUCUAAUAUAAUACUAUAAAAAUUCUAUAACUGAGCCAUAUGAAAAAAGUAAAAAACCUAUAUUAAUCUCAUUAAUAGAAAACUAAACAAACUAAAAUUUUUUUUGUCAACUCUAAUCUAUUCUAGUCAUCUGGAUACGUACCGUAUAUAAUAUAUAUAUUAGAUUUGUUAAUUUUUCAAAUUUAAUUAGUUAUAUUAAUAAUAUUUAGUAAGUUUAAAAAAAUGUAUAAAAAAUCUGUAAAAUAUGAUUUUUCAACAGAAUAAAAGCAAACAUUUUGAAGAUCACAAUUUUUGAGGAUAUACAGUAUUCGAAAAACAGCAUACAAAAAAAUUAUAAUGCAUUUGACACCUUUGAAAUCCAUUUGUGGGGAUAACAUUAUUGAAGACAACAUCAUCGCUUCAACAUAUAUCUUGUUGUCUACACAAACAUUAUGCAAAUUGGUAAUGUAGUUGUGUAAACGUGCAAUUUGACUUAGAAAUAUAUUUUUGUGUACUUGUGUAGGUAUAUUAUAGAAGUUAGAAUGAUAUAUGGAUGUGUACAUACGAUAUGUAAUUAGCUCAUACAUUUCGCCAAAUAAGUAAUCAUCAUAAUCACUAAUGAUUUCUCAAAGCAGUGUUUAUUAUUCUCAAGAUUCUCUAUGUUUUUGCUAUAAUGAUGAUGAUUAGUAUUAAUAAAAAAACAAAGUUUCAAAAACUCGUAUCUUCUUCACAUACUUCACCGCUCUCUUGCCACACACUUGUAAGUUGUAAAUUGUAAUAGUCUAAUAAAGUGGGUAAGUGUUUGCCGCUCGACGUCGUCCCUAAGCUUCACGGUUUGGACCUAACACAUGCCCAAUAGAAAAAUGAAGCAAAGGUGUGUUACAGUGUUAAGAGUGACACGUGACCGAUGUGUGUUCACACAUGCAAGCUCCCUAUUCAGCCGUCCGUCACGUGUCCUUCGAUUAGUCUCCGCCGCUCCCAUUUUUAAGGUUACUACUCUCUGUUUCUUCUUGGCGAAGUAAAAGCUGUGUCUCUCGUCGGAAUCUUGAUGGAGAAGAAGAAGAAAGGCGAUGGUGAAUCGAACUCGAAGCCGCCUCUAAUGGCGUUGAACCAUGUCUCAAGGCUUUGCAAAGACGUUAAAAAGUCUUUGGAGUUCUACACGAAGGUGCUAGGGUUCGUGGAGAUAGAGCGGCCAGCUUCGUUUGACUUCAACGGUGCGUGGCUUUUCAACUACGGUGUAGGGAUUCACUUGGUGCAAGCUAAGGACGAAGACAAGUUACCUUCUAAUACUGACCAUUUGGAUCCGAUGGAUAACCACAUCUCUUUCCAAUGCGAAGACAUGGAAGCUUUGGAAAAGAGGCUCAAGGAAGUGAAGGUGAAGUACAUCAAGAGGACGGUGGGUGACCAGAAAGAUGCGGCCAUUGAUCAGCUCUUCUUCAACGACCCUGACGGCUUCAUGGUGGAGAUUUGCAACUGCGAGAAUCUCGAACUUGUCCCACGCAAUUCAGCGGACGCCAUACACCUCCCAGAAGACCGACACGCACCUCCUGUUGCCCUCCAUGGCUCAUCCGACAGUAGAAUGCCUCAACCCAAUUCUUAGGGAAGGCCACUUUGGUUAUUUGUUUGGUUUUAAUAAAUCUUUGACCAAACACAAACCGAAGUUAUUGUCGCUUUGGUUUUCAUGUUUGUUAGUCUAGUUAAGUUUGGUUUUAGUCUAGUUCAAUUGGGUUAGGUUUGUUUGAGUUUGUUCCCUACAACGUAAACAAAUUCUCAUGUUUCUUGUCAAACCAGAGUUUGAAUCAUCUUUACCAUAAUUUUGAAAGCAACAAAACAUGUUUUUGUCUAAAGAAAUAGCACAACGAAGAUGAGAGACGAUAAACAUUGAUGUUGUUGGUUUGGCGUAAGUGGGAGUAGCAAUAUAAAUUAAACAAUUUAUAAACGCACGGGUUGUACAAAAACAAUGGUAUGGUUUAGCAUAGAGAGAAUCAAAACAAGAACUAGGCUCGAAAAAGGAUAUAAACUACCAUUCAAGCUAAUGAACCGAGAAACAAACUUGAACAAAUAAGCCUAUAACCUCUACAAUUCUUGCAUUACUACUCCCAUGAAGCUAUGAAAACAACAAGCUUUGAAACAGAGUAGAAAUACCUAAAAUUUCCAUGCAUUUGCAUUCUUUCAAUCACAACCAAAAAACCAGGAUGCCAGUUCGGACCAUUUCGCUGGAUGCCGCUGCUUGCCCCCUCCCGGUGGCUGCAACUGCAAAGGAAUCAUCGCAACACUUCUGUUUGCCAUGCUGAUAUGUACUAUUCCAAUUCCAUAUAGACUGGUGUUUAAGCUUGAUACAUGAUAAAGCACACAUAUAAAUUUCCCUCUACAAUGGGUAGUAGCAAGAGUAUUCGAAUGUUUACCGUAUAAUCAAAUACUGAUCACCUGAUAAGAAAUCAAAUCUAGCAUAGUAUAAAAAGUUAUACAUCACAGCAUCUCAAUCAUUAAGCCAAACAACAUAACCUUUUGUCAACAUUUUCAGUAAACACACAACAAUUCUCUUCUCAAGAAGGUAGACAAAACAAGAAUAGUGAUGUAUUCAGAUAAGGCCAUAACAACCGAGUGUGUCUACAUCUCAAACUCAUAGUACUGAAAACAGGACAACAAUCGAAUUCGUGAGUAUUCUCGAAGUUUCACAUUUCCAACAAAAGAACUUAUCCAUCUCUACCAUUUACGCGAACUAAGAUAUUCAAUGGCAGGUUCAAAAGUCUGAUCCACAGCUUUGUUCCACAGAGAUGCAAAUUCCACACGAUACUUCUUCCCUAAUAUACGAUCUCUCACCUGGAAACAAAGUAUAUCCCAAAGUUCAACUCAAAGCUACUGGCACCACCAAUACUAUCUAAACCGUAACCAUGAGUUCAUCUAAGAACCAUCACAAACCCAACUAGUCUAAUACUCAAAAGGCAAAAUCCAAAUCUUAAUGUGUCAAUGUACUAGAUCAAGCCUUAAGCUAGAUUCUCAUCACUUCAAGGUUAAAUUGGAUUCGAUUUCAUAGAGACUAAGGGAAAUUUAAUGAUAUUUUAGGGAUGAAAAGGGAGAGAAGGACGCGAUAACCUGAGAUUGAUCAACGGAUUGAGAUUUAGGAUCAGAAACAGAUUGAUGAAUGAGCUUUCGCUGCUCGAAAACGACGAGCCCAGUCAAGGCGCUACCAAGAGUGAAACCAAGAAGACGUUCCUGUAGAAGAAUCGUUAAACAAUGGAUUGAACAAAUCGAUUUUUAGAAACAAAAGAAAAAAAAUAAGGAAUCUGGAGGAUAAGGAUGAAGAGGGAAACCUGAGCGAGAAUGCUGAUCAUGGUGAAACUCUCGUUUGAUUUUGCUGGGAUUGGGAAAGGGUUUCUUUUGUUUUCUCGAGAAAAAAAAAAUGAAACUGAGGAAGAUGAUGAUGCAACGAGACGAGACAGACACGUAUACAAAUGGGCCGACUAUGGGCUUUAACCCAACAGUUAAAAACAAUAAUGUAAUAUUUCUUAUAGUUCUUUUCUGCAAACAUUAUUAUUAUUUUUUUUUUUUUGCAACAACUGCAAACAUUACUUAUUCAUCAAAUAUUCAAAUAUACAAAUAUUGUGCAGUCUUACAAAAAAAAAAAUACUUAGAAAAAUACCAAAAAUUGAUGUUUUAUUUAGACAACAACUAAACAAAUAUACAUCAAACUUAAAUCCUCUUGUGAUAAAAGUGCUCCAAAGAAAAAUUCUCGAAGUGAGGUAGACCCUAGGCUAGACCCAUAUAUGAUGCAUCUACACGCAUGCAACAGUAAAUGCAUCAUCAUAACCAUGAUAAUAAGAGAACCAUUAGUAACAGCUUUGGUGUUAUGUGGGAAGAACAAAUACAUCUAACAUGAUUUUUUUUUUAAUAAUAAAGAUUUAAUAUUAGAUUUUUUUUCAACAAAGAUUUACUAUUAGAUAAACUCACAUUUUUCAAUUAGAGUUAUGUGGUAUUUUAUAUCAAAUGUAAUUUUGAAAAUUUUCAUGCAAACUAAAAAAGAACGUAUAUCUCUUAUUUAAUUAGUGAUUAGUAAUUUAAUUUAAUGAAAAGUAGUUUUGAGUUAGGGAUAUAUAAGGAAAUUAACGUGAAAAUAAGAAAGCCUAUUUUUACAACAGCUUAUUUUUCAUUUGAUAUAAAUAACUAUAUCUUUCUAUAUGAACUAAUUAAAUAAGCAUACUUUUUGCAUGUAAAUAUGAAGUUUAACCAUAUAGAGAAAAAAUUGGAUUCAAACAAUUAAUCAAAAAAUAAAUCAAAUAAUUAUGGAGAAUAAAUGUGCUUACUUGCCCUAAAUAUUCCUUGAAUAUCUCAUAUAUUUUGAUAGAUUAACUUAGCGAAGUCGAGUAUUAUGGUUCUGUUGCUGUUAUAGUAGACAACUAUUUUUUUUUUUUGGUGGAAUUAUAGUAGACAACUAUUGUUGGUGUUAACUUGUUGCUACGUCCGAAAAAACAUUAAAACACAUAUUUAAUUCUUAAAAACAUUUCUUGAAACAUAAACCAUUUGUACAAUAACUACUCCAAUCUAUUAAAUUUACAGUAUAUAGAACUCCAAAACUGGUUUUUCUUACCAAAUAUUUUCAUCAUACGUUAUAUCACGGCUUCUUGAUUCAAUCAAGAGACAAAAAAAAAAAAAAGUUUAUUAAAAUUUUGUAUAUUAUACAUAUACAAAGUGUUAUAAAUAGAAAAGAACAAAAAAGAGACAUGCAUCCAAGUUUGAAAUCUGAACGCUGCGUAAUGCGUUAGACAUGGGUGGAUCAAACACAAUAAAAUAAUAUUUACAUAUUUGUUUAACUAUAUAAUUUAACAAACAAAUGUAUUUGAUUAUUCGAUUCAGCUUCUUCCAUAUCCCUUCUCUCCGUCCCUUGUUCUUCGUAACGAGAAUAUAGAUUUCGCUAUUGGUGUAUUGAUUGAUUCGAUCACAUUGCAUCAAAGCUACACAUCGAAUCGCAAUGGCGAAAAAGCUCGGUUUCAUCAUCGUUAUGCUAUCAAUGUACCUCCUCCUAAUUGUCAACUUUGCGCAUGCUCAGGAGGAAUCUCCAUCCCCUGCUGUCUCGCUGGGACGUGAAUCUUUAACGGAUUCUCCUUUGCCAUCACCGGAAGGAGAUUCGUCUCUCCCACCGUCUUUUUCACCAGAAGCAGAUUCCCCAAAGCCACCAGCUUCAUCACCGGCACCUGAAACCCAAGCAGAUUCUCCAUCACCUUCAUUGCCACCUCCUCAGGCGGAAUCUCCCUCUGAUUCCUCACAAUCUCCAUCAUCACCUGGACCAGCACCAGUUCCUGCUCCAGCUGACGAUGAUGACGACGAUGAUGAUGAUUCUGACCCGGAAACAGAGUAUUUUCCAUCUCCGGCACCAUCUCCCGCACCAGAUGUGGGAAUGCCAGAUGAUAUCAAAGCAAGCGAAGAAGACGGCGAUGAAUACGAGGACAACAAUGGUGAAGAUAGCGGAAUGAGUGCAUUGACGAAAGCCGGAAUUGCCAUUGGAGCAAUACUGGGAGUAGGAGCAAUGGUUAUCGGAGCUCUUGUUUACAAGAAACGAAAAGAUAACAUGACCAGAGCUCGUUACACUCGCUUUACUGAAGGAGAGUUCCUUUAAAAGAGCCAUUCUUUUUUGUAUUUAAAAAACUUUUUUCACUUAUGAAAAAUGGAAAACAUAUAUAAUCCUUAAAUUGUGUUUAUGCAAAACAAAAAUAGUUGUUGGUUGUUCUUUUGGUGCUACAUCACAUUCUUAAUGAGUUUAUUGCAUAUUCUUACCUCUCAAGGAGCAUUACCAUUUCACAGUGGUCAGUAUGGGGGAAAAGAUCAACGGCCAUGGCUUUGACAGGUCUAAAAGGCUCAGAAGUUGGCAUUGACUUGGCUCUACGACGAGCCAAACCGGCAAUGCCUAUAUUCUUGUUCCCUCUGUAAGUUUUGUUUCCUCUAUCCGCUUCAUCAAAAGAUGGUGUGCAAAGCUCUAUCGCGUUUGCCACUAGCGUUUCGGGGUUGCAUGAAAUGUACCUGCAUCAAAGCAAAGAUCGGCAAUUCUGGUGUUAAACAAAUAGAGGAAACAGAGUCGACAUAACCAAGUUUGUGGUAGUGAGUGUUUAGAGAAGGGACUAACACAAGCCUCUUUAGCCGGGGAUGGGUUCUUAAAGCUUUAAUUACAGCUGGAUGAAGUCCAGAACGAGGUGGAUCGACUAUAGCAACCACGUUUCUGAACUGUGGUUUUAUAGCUUUUUCCGGCUCUAUGGACGAGGAAUCCUUCUGUGCAUUGUCUUGAAGUUCUUCUACUUGAGUGUUUGGAGGAGGUAGGUUUUGAUCAGCCACAUGCUCUGAGUUUGACAUUUCUUCUGUUGAGGGAAUUUUUUUGUCGUUAGCAUUACUUACAGGCUUAGCUUCUUCCAUUUCAGUCACAUCUAAGUACUGUUUAAGUAGAGAGCUCAUCACAGUCUCUGCCUGUAUAACAAAGCCAACAAACUACCAUGAAUUAAGAUUAAGAUAAUGGAACCGACUACGAGAUUUGUUAUUGUCAAAUGCUACAUGCCUUUGAGCAGAUGAACUUGCAGUUGCUAAUGCCAUUGAUUGUUGCGUUCCUUUCGGCAUCCACUACAGCCGAAGCAUUCAUUUCUAUGCCAAUUACCUGUAAGAGCCUAAGCGGUUAGCACCAAAACCUUUUAACACAGCACCAGUUGUACCCACUUUUAUAGUUUUGGUCACCAGAUGUAGUUAAACAAAGUAUAAUUGCUUUAACCAAAUCAACAGACACGGUAAGGAUUGGUACUAAUCGGUUUUGCAAGUUCAAUAGCAGAGUAUUACCAUGCCAACACGAUGUGCCAGUGUAAGCCCGAUUGUUCCAGUUCCACAACAUACAUCGAAGAGUAAAGUGUCCGGACCAAGGCCAGCCCAGUCUCCAGCAACUGAGUAUAACUUUUCUGCUGUGACAGUAUUAACCUGGAUAUUUAGUUUUCAAAUCAAUUAAACAUUAUUCAAAGGGAUUUUGAAAUGUACUGUUAGUGAAGAUUAAGUUAUUACCUGAAAAAAUGCUGUCGGGGAAAUGCUGAACCGAAGGUUGUUAAUAUGAUCAUGAAUCCGAGCUUCGGUCAAGACAUUGGUAGCCUGCUCCUGAUUUUUCCCAUUAUCUGACAUUGGAAUAGGCAGCACUUGCAGUGGGGCGUCGGGUGGUGCAACAUUUGAUAUUCCUGUAUGGUUCUGAGAAAGAAGCGAUAUAGGCAGUGAAUAACAAAAUGGGACUUGGAGCUAGGAAACUGUAUUAUACAUUUCCUUUAAAUAUGAUUAAAUAAAAAGUGAGGAAAAUUAAUCACCUGAACAACUAAUACAGUCAGAGGAAGAGUUGGAGAGCUUGCUCUAGCUCCUUCAGCAAAUGCUUUUGCCAUUUCUUCAUACUCCGUGGCCACUUCUGCCUCAUCAGAACCAGUUAAACAAACCUGAAUAGUUUCACACGAGAUAGAGAGACUAAAGAAACAAAUAAUAGUAGGAUGGGUGAAAAACAUCGACGACCAUUCUAGACACAAACCUGAACAAUAAGCAUAACCUCCGCAAUUCUUGUAACCGCAUCUUCGUCAUUUGAAAACACGCCAGGUUUUCUCCCUUCUCGAACCUAAUAUAUUUAUUUUGAGCAAGGUGAAAGAAAAAAUUAAUUAGGUAAAGUCAUGAUUGAGCUAUACCAUAACAGCGUGUUGUGCAAUACACAUACCGAGAACUGUCGCCAGAACCCACUAUGUUCAAACCUAUUCCAAACUUGGAGCUUUGAUUUUUCUAUAAACUUCUGAAAGAUUGAAGCAUAUUGAAGAGCAAUUUGAGAGACGUUGGGGCAAUUCACAGGCUCCUCAACUGCUGUCACACCCGCGCUGAAAAAGAUCUUGCAUUAGCUUUUUCCCGUGACAAUAUGAAAAACGCAAGUUUGAGGGAAGAAAAGUAUAUAUACCAAAAACUUCCUAGACUGAAUCCAACAGUUGGCUUUCCCUGAAGAGAUAAUCCAACCGAGAACUCACACUUGUUCCUGUAGCCAUUAGAAAUUGGUGAUUCUAUAAUGCCCUCGAAGUUGCAUGCAAGACCACCUAAGGAUUUAUUGUAUGAAUUAGAAAUCCCACCCAAUCAAAAUGGUUAUCAAAGGUAUUCACUUUGCCAGAAUGCAAUUACAACUUCAAAGAAGAUACACCAACCAACAGCUAAGAAGUGUAAUACUAGAAAUCAACAAUGGAUAGUUUUCUUACCUCUGUCUCUAGACGUAAGGACCCAUUCUGGAAGUGACCUCCCAUUUGGACAAGCUUUACGCGCACUCCUUGCCUGCCAGGAAAUUUAUAUUUCCACUAAAAAUCAGUAUAUUGAAGUUGAAACCAAAUAAACACCAACGCAAAACUAAACGUUGAGAAUGAUCCUGACAAGUUUUUUCAGCAUUUGCCCAAUAGAAGCCUUUUUUUGUUCAAGCUGGUCCGCGUAAGGCAUGUCUGCCAAGGGUGUCACAGCUUCACGAGCACAUUUAACCGAUUUUUUUGUUUCGUUCUUGUCAAAUGUGCGGGGAAGAACAUCGGCGAUCUUCAACUUAUUGCUAUUAACAGUUUUCCCAUCCAAAAUCUGCAAUAAAUUUUCAAUAGAUUAACAAAACAACAUCCUCCGAUAUAUCUCGGAAUAAAUAAGCUCAACAAACAAACCAAAAAAAACAACCUCCACGCCGCUCUGCAAUUGUUCUGCAUUCUCAAAUGUCACAAAACCAACCAUCAUUCCUCGUCUUUUCUUCGCAGACUUAUAUUGAACUCCCUGCAACGAUGAAUCAAUCAAUCAGUCCCUGAAUUCACAAGCAAUUUCAACACUAAUCAAACACCAAAGUUCUAUUUAACUACACUAACAUGAACACAUUUGAUUCAAAUUCCCAAAUACAAAAUUCAAAAACUGAGACUUUACCUGCUCUCCUAAGAAGGUCUUCAGUUCAUCUGAUUGCCAUUUCCUUGGUAAAUGCACCAAACAUUUACUAAGCGACAAAUCAAAAACACUACCAUCAUCAUCAAUUGAUUCCAUCAUCUGCUCAGUGAACAAAACCUCUUCAUCUUCUUUCUCUUCUUUCUCAGACAUCUUCAUCGCCUUCGUCUUCUUACCACGCUCAGAAGUCGGAUCCCAAGUUUUAUCUGGUUUCAUCCGGAGCUCUUGCUCACCAUGAGCAUACUUACACUCACUUCCAUGGCUACACGAAGCCUCACGCCUAAAAUAAGAACAAAGACUCGUCUUCCACCACGGCGAAGGAGUAGCCUUCAUCUCCGACGAUUCGAGAUUGGUCUUCUCAUCAUCCGCGCGUUUCCGUUUCUCCCCAACGGAUUCAAUGUUAUCCGUUGGAUUUGAAUCGGACGAUUGAAUUGGUUCGACGGGAGCAGGAUGAAGAACUUCGAUUGAUGAUGUCUCCAUUGGAAUUGGCUCGGCCGGAGCAGGAGGUGUUAGGGUUUUGGUGAGUAAUGGAAGCCCGUUGAUUUCGAUUGCUGACGUUUCCAUCGGAAGUGAUUCAGUGGUGGAUGAAGGAGGCUGGGAGGUUAAGGUUUCGGCGGCAGACGAAGGAAGCUCGUCGAUUGAUGAUGAUGACGCCAUUGUAAGUGGCGGUAGAGCUCGAAGAAGCGUUAGAUGGAAGUGACGGAGUUUCAAACUGUAUCAGUAUCCUUAAACCCUACCCGGUUUAGAUGGUUUUGCUUCGGUUCAAUAAUCUAAUUAAUUAAUUAGUUUCGGUUUAGCUUUAAUUUUUCUAUACCAAUUUUAGUCUCCACCCUCCAUAAACACUAUGUAUGAUUUUAUCUAACAUCUAUUAUAACAUUUUUGGAGUACAAAUUUUUGGCCAUCACCUAUUAAAUUGCUUAUGACAUCGAUUACCCUCAACAUCAAUUAUUUUGCCUGUUUUCAUUAAGGUUAUUGUAGUCAAUAUAUUGAAUCGGGUCGGUAAAUUUUCCAAUCUUUAACCCAAUUUGAUUACUCGGAUCCUUCUAUUUCGCCUACCAACGAUUGCCCUUCAAAUAAUCUUCAUUCCUGUUGAAAUAAAAAGGUUAAUAAAGUCUUUAAUAUACUUAAUCGGUUUAUAAGAUACAUUCAGUACUGACUAGAUUUCGAUAACAAGACAUUUAGUUUAACAAGAUUUUAUCAGUUAUGAUAACCGACCUCUAUGCCUACGAAUACAUCAUCACAAGUAUUUUGAAAAUCUUUUAAAACUAAUAUCAUAAAUAACAAACCAUAUAUAGAUCUCAUAUCGAAACUAGGUUCCUUAAUUUUUGGAAUAUCUCUGCUCUCCACAAUUGUGUCAAUCAUAUAUUCUUAUAUUCCUGAAAUGAAGAAAGAAGUUAAUAUAAUCGAUCGAGAGAAUUUGGAAUAUUCCAUGGUUGAAGAUCUCAUUUUACAUUUCGAAAAUAUAUUGCAAAUAACUAAACUUUAUCCCCACGCCGUGUAAAAUUUAGGUUAAUGUCGACUUCAUUCCUCUCCUACACUAUAUAUAGCACAACCAUAUACAACUAUUACUCAGAGCACCCAAAAAUCCCUACAGCAAAAAAAACUCUUCACAAAAAACAUAUCUACAUGGCUGCUACAUUUGCAUACCUCAGGGACAUACGUCCUUACAAGACAGCUUGGAGGGUCCAAGUCAAAGUGCUACACUCUUGGCGCCAAUACACAAACAUGACUGGAGAGACAUUCGAGUUGAUCUUCUCCGACGACAAGGUUAGUUCAUGUAUUAUUAUAAGUGUUAAUAACAGCCAUGGAUCAACUUAUAAUGUUUAUUUUCUUUUUUUGUAGGGUGUAAAGAUACAUGCUNNNNNNNNNNNNNNNNNNNNNNNNNNNNNNNNNNNNNNNNNNNNNNNNNNNNNNNNNNNNNNNNNNNNNNNNNNNNNNNNNNNNNNNNNNNNNNNNNNNNNNNNNNNNNNNNNNNNNNNNNNNNNNNNNNNNNNNNNNNNNNNNNNNNNNNNNNNNNNNNNNNNNNCGGUUUCUGAUUCAAACUUUUUGUCUUUGGCUAAGUUUACGAUUUUUUGAAUAGUAUCAAGCUCUCAGGUUUGCCUCAUCAUGCUUUACGAUUGAAAAUAGGAGCUCCUGUUAUGUUGCUUAGGAAUAUUGAUCCUAAAGGUGGAUUAUGCAAUGGGACUAGGCUUCAGAUAACGCAAAUGGCUAAUCGUGUUGUUGAAGCAAAAGUUAUCACAGGUGAUCGGAUUGGAGACAUAGUCUUAAUUCCACAGGUUGUUGUUACACCAUCGGACACCAAAUUACCAUUCAAGAUGAGACGAAGACAAUUUCCACUUUCUGUAGCGUUUGCUAUGACUAUCAACAAAAGCCAAGGACAAUCUCUAGAGCAUGUGGGUAUAUAUUUGCCUAAACCAAUUUUUUCUCAUGGUCAGUUGUAUGUUGCUUUAUCUAGGGUAACUUCGAAGAAAGGAUUAAAAAUCUUAAUCGUCAACAAAGAAGGGAAGGUUGACAGACAGACAAAGAACGUUGUCUUCAAAGAGGUGUUCCAGAAUCUGGGCAACUAGGCUUGCUGUUUUACACGUACGCUUCACUUCAACUUGUGGUGAUACGAUUUAGACAAACCUGCUAAACUCUUUUAAUUCAUUUNNNNNNNNNNNNNNNNNNNNNNNNNNNNNNNNNNNNNNNNNNNNNNNNNNNNNNNNNNNNNNNNNNNNNNNNNNNNNNNNNNNNNNNNNNNNNNNNNNNNUUGAAUUGCUAGAUCUUAUAUUUUGGGAAUUGUUUUUAAUCACCAUAAAUCAUGCACAACCAUUUCCAUACUGAAGUAGAGUAUGAAGUUUACCUUAUUGUCUAAUGUCCUGCGUUCUUUAUCCGGACAUGUCAACGAUGCCAUAUAAAAGACUUCAAAAACUGCAUAUAACAAAUAGAGAACAAUGUUUUGAGUAAACGGCACCUUAUAGUUUUCACAUAUGUUGUUAAAAAAAACUAAUUGAAGUCUGCAGUUAUCUUACUCAUUCAAUUAGCUAAGCAUAGUUCUUAUAUGCUAAUAAGUGACUUGAAUCCGCAAGAAUUCUGAAACACAAACUCCUUAGUUCGGUUGAAUAUAAAUUCUACCUUCUAAUCCAAUUUUGUUCGUCCUUAAACCGGUGUUAUCCACCAUUCCAUAUAAUAGAGUUUAAAAACUGCAGACAACAAAUAGAGAACAACAUAUAGGAGAUUAAAGCACUCGGUAUUCACAUAAGCAACAUUCUUCCAUUAAAUAUAAACAUGUAAUACCUGAAUCACUUCCCCAAAAAAAAAUUAUCCAAUUAAAACCUGUAAUUAGCAACAAGUUAUAAGUCAGAUGUAUUGGAUCAACAGAAACGUAGAAAGAUGAAGUUAAAAUAAUUCACAAAGGCAUUAAUUAGACCAUAAAACUCAAAAUAGGAUUAUAUCAAUUGAGAAUUGGAAGAUUCAAGAUAGUGAACCAGAGUUCUCGAAAUGAUCCCAAUCGAUUUACAUAAGAAAACCUUUGCAUGCUCUACAGGACCAUCAUUUGCUGCACCAUCAUCCUUGAAUAUUCUGAAACCAAUCGAUUGCUGCACCAUCAUCCUUGAAUCUUCUAGAUGCCAACAUCGUUAUAAAUUUCAGGCGAUGAAAACUAGAGUUUGGAACAUGAGAAAGUAAGUAGAUAGAUAGAUUAAAUUUCUGGGUUUUCUCACAAAGAAGGGAAAUUCAAGUUCAAUUACCUUCAUGUUCGAUUCAGGUACUUGUAUUUUAGAUACGAUCGGUUUGUCUCGAAGGAAAGUGAAAGAGACACCGUUUGAAAACUUUAACGGAAAGGCCAUUUUAAUUUUUUAUUUUCCUUAUCUCAACUUGAUGACAGUUUUUGGCCUCUCUUUAAAAUAUGGUUCUUGGGAUAAAUAAAUAUGUGUAAAAGUAACCAAACAAUUUCGGACUUAACCAAACAAUUUCUGACUAAGCAUGCACAAUAACUAAAGUGUGAAUACUUUGUGAACAAAAUAUUGUGUAAUUAUGUAAGUGCUAAAUGUCCUUGAUUUUUUUUAAUAUAAUAUGACUCCCACAAAACCAUGGUUAAGUUAUUAAUAGAGAAGAAACAAUUCGACAAACAUCACAUUCAAAUAAACAAAAUAUUUAUUGUUCACUACGAUAAGGUACAAUUUAACCUUACAAAACACUUCUUUUAUAAAAAUUAGGAAAAACAAAUUAAUCCAACUAUGAACCCGUGGUGUACCACGGGGUAAAACCUAGUUUUUUCGUAUAAAGUUGGCGAAUAGUAACGAAUCUACAAAUAAUGGAUUCAAAGACCAUAAAGCUAAUAUUAUUAUCCAUUUCAUUUGCUUUAUUUUCAUUUUCAACAAUUACAUACUUCAUUAAAAUAUCAAAUAAAGGAACCGGAGGAGCUCAUGAACAAGAAGCUUCAACAGCUAAGCUCUUCACGACGCCACGACAAGGUUCUCCGAAGACUCUAGUAGAGACUUCAACGUUGCAACUCCUCAAUCCAAUACAUGCCUGUCACAAGUCAAACUCCAAGUAUGAGUAAAUAUAGGAAAUGAAGGUUAGAAGGAAAAAGAAAAAGAGAGAUUAUAUAAGACCUUUUGGACGAGGGAGAGAGAGCGAGAGCUGCUGCAAUGGCCGUAGGUGAAGCUACCGCAAGUACCUUUAGGUGUACCGAAGCUUGCAAAUUUUAUAGAAGUUAUGACAUGAGUGGAGACAGGACAUUUUAAGGAAAGAACCGGUCUGGUUCUGUGUUUGUUAGAGAUUUUCGAGUCUGAUGUCCAUGUGUCCACCGGAGGUGGAUGAGACUGUGACACUGUUAGACAUAAACUGCUUCCUGUUUGUUUUGUAGCGAAUGAUAUUUGUGUUGGAUCUCCUCCCAUUUCCUCUAAGAGAACAAGUGUGUUCCCGCUCGGGUUUAGCCACGAGCGAGGUACGUGAUACCUACAAAAAAAAAAACAAUUACAGUACUUGGGCUUGUGGAAGAGUUUAAUCUUGAUAAACCAAAGUCUGUAAAGAUUAGUACUUACAAUGUCUGUGAAGGUUUUCCACAGUUCUUGACGCAUUUUUUUGCAGUGUAAGAUCCUCUGUAGUCGCAUGAAUCUGUGCAACCGUUGUUUGCUGCGAUACUGGUUGGCCAGUACCUACCUAUGCUCUGUCCAUUCACCCAUGCAAUGCCCUUUCCUGUACCCGUGAAGUCUAUCGCUACUGGCUCGCUCCCAGAAGGAGCAUUAAAUGUUGUCUAAGAAAAGUAAGAAGCUAUUGUUAGAGAGUGACAAGAAUGUACAAGAAUUUUGUCAAAAUGUGUUUUUUUGGUGAACCAUCAUCACCUUGUACCAAAUCAGUGGCUGCUUAGUGGGCAAAGGAGACUUUGAAACCCAUUCAGAAGAAUCUCCAGUUGCUAAACCUGUGUCUUCCCCUUUGAGUCCAACCUAUAUAUCACAAUCGUUAAAGUUUGAUAUAGCCGGAGGUUCGAGCUAGGAGCAGUAAAUAUGAUAAGAGAUUCUUGAGGUUGAUUCAAAUCCAAUGGAGAAUUAUUGUAAUGCACCUGAUAAGUCCAUUGCUGUGUAGCCAAAUCGAUUGAGCUACCACUUUUUGCGCUUUUAAGUGUCACAGGUCCGGUUAUUCCUGCUCCCACUAAGUCAAAGAAAGGUCCAUAGUUCUGGGGAAUAAGUUAAAUACAUUAGUUGAGUUAAUCCUGCCUAGUAAACAUCUUGUGCAGUAAUGAUGAGGUUAGAAACGAAGAUGACGUACCGCAAGCCCUACGGUAACACUAAGGAGAUCAAUUGUGUUCUUCCCGGGUACAAGAUUAAUCGGGAUAACCAAAGAAAUCUUCUGUUUGUCAUGUCCACUUCCUGCAACCGCAAAGUGUGUAUGUAAUAUGUAUCAUUGGUAUAGUUUAUAAACUUAGUGCCAAACUUAAUUUCAACUGCUUGUGAAAACUCAAAGAGUAUUUAUGUACCGGCCAGUUUUCCAUUUAUAAAAGCAUAGACCACUUGACCAAUAGAUUCAAUGUGAAGUACGGCUUUAGAUCCUUCGUCAAGGAAAGUCUCAUCGCCUUUAAUAUCCAUCCUGUUAAAGAUUAAAACACAGAAAAGCUCUGUUAACAUAAAACCAAGCAUCUUGUGCAAGAAGAGAAAUUACUGAGAAAAUGGCAUUGGCCUACUCUACCUUAGAGAGUACCACAAGUAAUCGCUUUUGUCAGCUGUUGUGUUUAUCUGCUCUAACAAUCCAGGUUUCAAGAAUGCAUCAGUCUUGGAAAUCCCAAUAGGUUCUUUAAUGUAACUCCAUUGUGAACCUAACUCCGCAGAUGAACCACCAUCAGGCUUCAAUGAUUGAGGAGCAAAUGUGGUAGACUCAGUUGCAGCAUUUUUCUAGAUAUGCAUAUUAGAUAUCAAUAUUAGUAAGUUGUUCCUAUCAGCGAUAUGAUAAGUAGCGAUAAGCUUAACAGUUUAAAGAUGAUAUUGAACAAACCUUUGCGGUGUUGAAAGCUACAUUUUUGCAAUCCGGCAAGAUGCUAACUGACCAUGCAGGCAAGACGUAUGAUUGUCCAUUAAAAACCACAGUUGCAUCAGAUUUUGUGCCAACAUUUGCAAGAAAAGCAGCACAUGAUCCAGAUGUUUUAUAUACAGCAGCCUAUAAAGACAAAACUUUACAUAUUUAGAAGUACCAUUUUUUUAAGCAUGAGAGUGACAUGAAGGUAUCAUUACCUCCAAAUUUGAACCCAAAGAUGUAAUUGUUGGAUCUGUGGCAAUCAAUGAAUCUUCACAAAGCUUAAUAGCCUUGUGUAAAUCUCGCAAGUGUCCCCAUUUUGGUUGUCUAAGAAGUCCUGCAACAAAAUAUAUUACAACUCCAGUGAUCCACACACUUUUGUGGGUAAACAAAGAUAUGCAGUAGUAGAAUCCGUACCAUACUCAUCAAUUGGAGCAUCAUAGUCAUAACUAGUAGAUAUCAAGGGUCCUCCACUUGUUCUAUCAAAGUUUGAGCCACCGUGAUACUGUACAAGACAAUACCAAAACCAGUUUGGUCAAUAGAGUACAGAAGUAGAACUUAGUACACAAAACUAUUUGGUUCUUGUGUUUAUUACCAUGUAAUAAUUCUGGAAAGUUCCACCUCGUUGGUAAAACCUUGCAACUGCGAAUGCAAGAUCUUCAACUGGUCUGUAAGGAGAAGGAUCUCCAAAACCAAGGAACCUGGUCAUUGUGGGAUAUACAAGAAAGUAAGUUAAAUGCCAAAUUUGGAAACAAACAAAUUAGUAAAAGCAAAAAGAGACUCACCAGCCACUCCAGUUCUCUGUCCACAUCUUGGGUUUAUUAUUUGAGUUAGGAGUGAACUGAUCACAGUAGAAACCAUUGCAUGUGUUGAUCUACCAAACAAACAGCAAGAAUGUCUCAAUCAGAUAGACUAACCACCACACAAAUUUGACACACUACCUAUCCAAGUACUCGCUACUAAUACUACUACUACACUCAAUUAAUUACCAAGUACAUUGGAAUAUUCUUAGAAACUCACCAUGGGCUCAGGUGCAUCUGCUUGCUGACACAUGUUCCACGGUACUCCAGUAUCUAGUGAAAGAGCCAUAGAAGCAGACCACUUGAUAUAACUUUUACCCGCAGCACCAUACGCCGAAGCAAUAUUCCCGUAUUCAUUCUCAAUCUAACACAUCCAAAUAAAGAAAAAAAACAAAAAUGAGAAUCAUAAGAGAUGUUACAAGCUACAUACAACAAGUAGUACUCAGAAUAAUAAUAACCUGCGAGAGAAUAAUAGGACCUCCUUGUGAUGCAUAAAGCUUUUCUUGCUUCAUCAAAUCAACAAUCUUGGUAGUAAAUCUCUGCAUUUCCGCCUACAACACACAAAAACCAAACCCAUCUUUAACAACUAACUAACUAAACUACAACAUAAGAAACAAAAAGUUAAAAGGACACAUCACCAAACCAUUACCUUAAACGGCUCAUUGUCAGUUCGAAACUUAAUUCCUGGUACAAAAUGCAGCCACACUGGGAAACCACUGUUUCACACACACACACACACACACACACAAAAACUCAAAAUCAAUCAAACCAAAGACGGAUUUUAACCAGUAAACCCGAAUUUGUACCCGUAAUUCCAUUCAGCACAGACGUAAGGACCAAUUCGUAGAUGAACAUAGAGACCAGCUUUAGCAGCUAACUUCACAAAUUUCACUAAAUCGUAUCUUCCUUCAAAAUUAUACUGCAACCCAAAAAAAAAAAAAAAAAAUUGCAGAGUCAGAGAAAACUCCAAAAAUAAAGAAAAAAACAAAAAGAACCGAACCGACCUUGUUCUUCUCAGGCUCGUGACCACUCCAAAACACGUACGUCUCUAUAACAUCUAAACCACCGUCUUUAGAUUUCUGUAUAAGGUCCGGCCACAUCUAUUAACCAAAAAAAAAAAAAAAAAAACACAAUUAAAUAAAAAUACAUAAAUAUCAAAAACAGAGUUUUGUUGUUAAGACAGGCUGUCACAUGCGUUACAACAGUGUACAGUUUCUAACCUCAGGAGUACUCCGAGGAUAAUGAAUCGAACCAGAUAUCAGAAUCUUCCUUUUCCCGUCGAUAACUAAAGCACGGUGGUCGUACGUCACAUUCGCCGCCGUCGCCGCCACCACUAUCUGAAGUAUAAGUAGUAACAUCAUCUCCAUCUUCCUUUUUCCUUUAACCAUUUUUUUUUUUUUUUUGCUUUUGACAGAUCAAUUGAUUCCUUCGUUCCUCUUUUUUAAAAAUCAAUAUAUAAACACGAAUUUGCUUGUAGACAGAGACAAAGCAUCGUGUUUUGUCUUUUUUUUUUUUGCUUUUUGUUUGGUUUCACUUGUUGUUGCUUCACCGCUUUGUGUUACUGCAUUAUCUCACAGAAGAAGAAAAAAAGAAAUGUUAGAUUGCUUUCGCUUUCGAUAUGAUAAAUGUAAUUGCUUCACUGUUUGGAUUUGGAUAUGAUUACCACUUUGGUCAAGCGUAGACGCAUUUGCAAUUAUUGCAUCAUCGUCUUCAUCUUCUUCUCGGAUUUUAAUGGCGGGGUUAAGAAGAUUAAAGAGAAGGAUUAGUGUUUUUAAUUAAUUAAGAGUUACGAAGAAGACGUACGCGGGUAUAGUGUUUAAGUAGCCGAGAGAAGAAGCAAGAGUUAAAGAGGAAGAGGGUGAGGAGGAGUAAUAGAGUGUUUCUCAGCGUUGUUUUGUUACGGUGGACCAGAAUGAAUGAUUUUUAAAAUUAGUUGGACAGAAGAAGACACGUGGUGGGUUUAAAUGGUAGAGAAAGCUACGGUGAGGAAGUUGAUGUGACGAAGUAGAAGACAAUGGUUUGUGGUAAGACUCUUGACAUUUUUGUUUAGUUUGGUUUUAUUUUAGAACCAACGAAUAGGCUAAGGUGACUAGUCUAUAUAUUGACCAUCGGAUCAGACCACUCAAUUAAACGAUAUGAGUAGAUAAAAUCUUUAUAUUGUAAGGUUAUAUAGUGUAAUAAUGUACAUAAUAAUUUCAACUGUCCUUAAAUUCCGACAACCACCAUUAUUAAUGAUUGGAAUUAAUAGUAAUUGUUUCGAGAUAUUUUGGAUAUUGCAUAUCCAAAAUUCGUUGUCUCGACUAGAAACAAAAUGUGUGUACUCAAAUAUUGCAUAUCCAAAAUUCGUUGUCUCGACCAUAUACUUAUACUUCAACGAGAAUGUGAUAACUUUUUCGAUUUGAACUCUUCCAUGCAUAUAUAGUUUCUUUGGAAUUGACUCUCACGGCUUUGUAAUAACUAUUUUGAUCAUCUCAAAUUUUGAUAUAAUUUUGGAAAUUUAAACCUAAAAAAAAAUCUAAAACUCGUUCCACAAUAUUUAAAAUACUUUUGUUAUAGGUGUUUCUUAGUACUACUAUGUAACCUUUAAUUAUAAUUUCUUUUUCCAAACAAAAAUAACAUAUAUCAAAAAAAUCUUUAAAAUAUAAUAGAAAUGAUAAGCUUCAUGAUUUAUAUAUAUAAUGGAAUACGCUCUUUAUUUUAUUUUUCUUGAGGUUACAUGUACCAAGCAAAGCCAAAACUUUUGUUAAAAACAAACAAAAAAAAACAGACUGGGAGAUAUUGACAAGGAAGCUAGUCCGAUGAAAUUAAAGACUUCUGACGUUUUAUCGGUAUAUGUAUUUGAAUGGAUAACUUGAUCUUUGUACAUAUCAACACCCUCCAAUGUUAGGUAUAUACUUAGAGUUAGAUCAUUUACAAACACUUGCAAAACAAAAAAAAACUAAACAUAAACUAUAAGCGAGAUAAUGCGUAUGUGUGUGUAUGUGGCGUUAGAAUCGUCACCUUACCAUCAGAUUUGGUGUUUGUUCCAACGACUUAAAUGGAGGAAUGUGAUAACACUGCGUCAUAGAGCUCAGACGCACAACAACAACAUCACCCACUUCAAACCUGCUUUUGUGCUUUCUCUUUUCAACGCACGUCAAAAUUCUAGAAGAAAAAAGAAAUAAAAAAAAGAGAUAUCGAUUUCCAAAUUUUUCAACACGUUAAUAAUAAUUUAUCUGUCGGUGCUUAUAUUAUUUUUGUCGUUUUAUAUUCUCAUUGUUAAAUAAUGUAAGUGUUGUUGGUGUCUAAUUAUUAGGUUUUGUAUAUUUAGAAAAUAAUAGAAUUUGCCUUUUUAAAAAAUAUGAGAAAACAAAGAGGUGUGAUAUAAAUAGUCAACAAGAGCAUUUUAUAGAUAAAAUGAGGAAAAACUUGGAGACAACUAAGAUUUUUACCAAUAACAAAAUUCUAGAUUUUUUACAUAUUUUUUUCGAAAAGAAAAUCAAUUAUUAAGAAGUAGAUUUUCUAAUCUUAUCUACUAUUUAUCACCCUUUUCUACACUAUUUACUAUGUUUCACUUAGUAUAAUUAAGAAAUUAUAUAGUUUUUUGAUAAUUCUAAUGGUUAAGAAGUAGUGACAAGUUGUGUGUUGUUGCUUCUGAUUUGUGUGUUGAUUCAUGUUUCCAAGGUUUUUUUCUUUAUGAAAGUUGAUUGAGUUUGUUAACAUAUGGUAAUUAAUUAAGAGAACGACUAUUUAAUCAUAAAUUUAUAAAUUUGUAAUUUCGAUGGACUUUUACUGAUGAUUCUGGAAAUUAAAAUCCAUUUUAUUUUGGUUGGAAAUACUCACCAAAUUUCAAUUGUUUUUUCUAUUUUUAUUUUGACAUAUCAGGAUCUUAAUCUUUACUAGUUAGCAUUUUGAAAACUAUAUUGUCUUAAAUUUGUGGCUAAUAAGUUAAAACUAGAUGUACAGUUUUUUUUUAAUCCUUUCUUGUAUCGUCGUAUAGAUGAUUUCCUCAUUAAAUUUAACUUUUUUUUUUUCCAAUUGACACUUACGUCAAUGUGAUUUAUAUUUCCAAUUGCCUACAAAUUAAAUUUAAAUUUAUUAACUGUAAUUAAUUUUGUUGUGUUUUGUAAUUUGUUGCUGAUAAAAAUGGUUAUCUUGGUUAAGAAGCUACGUGCAAGAACAGGCCCGAGGCCGGUUUAUACCUUAGAUGAUUUCGAUGAAGAUGGUUCAAGAAAAUGAUCAAGCCAAUGAACAUGUAACCAAACAUAUAAUAAGACAUUUAACUUAUUCAGUGGUUUGAUAUUUUUUUCUGGAAUUGAACUAUCUUCUUUGGAAUCAUUUGAGAUGUAAAACCGGUUAGGACAUAUUCAUACACGUAGCAUCUCUUCCAAGAUAAAAACUUUUAACCAACAAAUCAAACAACACACAACAUUUACAGUUGAUAAAUUAUAUUUGUAACAAAUCGUAAUAAUCACCUAGAUUUAAGAGUAGAGAAAAAAUAAAAAAGUAAAUCUAUAAGAGAACAUCAAUAUAAUACCAAAAGAGACAAAAACAAACUUUUUUUUCAAAAUUUAGCUCAUAAUCAUCUCUUAUAUAGUAAAAAAGAAGUACAUCUAGGAUUUGGAUCGGGUCAAUUAAAAAAAUUUAACCCGAAAUCAGUAAUUGGAUAUUUAGCUUAUGCACUAUCUGAAAAUCUUGGAUAUUACCAGAGAUAUAUUACCGACCAUAAAUGUUAACUUAAAAUUAAAUUACAUUCCUCAUUUGUAGGUCACUAUAUUAUUAAUUGCACCAUUUAGAAAAUCCCUAUAAUCACGUAAUCAUAAAGCAAAACACAAUAUUUAGGAAGCAAUUUAGAUAUUUUCCAUAUUCAACUACAAUUAUUUCCUAACAUAUUUUUAUGAUUGUGUAAUCAAAUAUUACGAGUAUAAAACCGAAGAUUAAUGCAAUUAAUUAUUGACUUCUCACGUUAUUAACUAAGGUACUACAGUUAGAUACUAACUAAGUUCAAUAAAAUUGGACUAUUAUAUGGUUAAUGUGUAUGCUACAAGAAAUACACUUGCAAACAAAUAAAAUUAUAACAACAAAAAAAUUACUACAACAAACAAAAAUUUUAAUAUUCAAAGACACUCGGUUACUAUAAUUUUAGUAAUUGCAAUAUCAUAUAUAAAACAAAUAAUAGCGAAAUUAAUACACAAGAUUCGUUGGUUUAUACAAUAUAUAUAAUCAUCUUUAUAUUAGACGGUUAGUUAAGUUUUCUGAAAUACUAGCUAAUUUUUAAUGUAUGUUUCUACAAAAAAUAUUAAAUAAAUUAAUGCAACAUCACUAAUUUUUUUUAUAGUGUGUAAAACAUAAAAAAAAAUGAAAAUUUAAAAAUUUCCCCCGCGCUUUAGCGUGGGUCCGAUUCUAGUUUUUUGAGUCAAAUACCAAAUAUCAUAAUCAUUAAAUGUCAAAAUUUUAUAACAUAAGCGAGAUAAUCAAUUGAAAGGUGAGUCUUCAAACUAAAACAAAAAGGGUUCUUGUGAUCAUCGACAAAAUCCAUCAAGUUCAGAUUUCAUAAUUUAGAAUUAAAGAUUCGUUUUCUCAAACUCAUAUCACAACAAAGUUAAUAUUGUUGCACUCUUGUGCCAAGUAUGAGAAGAACAAACCCCCCAUAAAAUCAUGUAUUUGUAAAAAAAAACUUGAUAAAAGCAUUGAAAACAUAAAGCAAGUAAAUCAUAAGCACACAAACCCCACAUAUAACUACUUAUAUCUAACUAGUAAAAUUAAAAAAAAAAUCACUAUACUAUUUUCUAGUUAUAUUCAAUGAAAAUAAAGUAAAAAAAAAAAAAGAUGAUAAAAAAAUAAGACUGACCUUAGGAUUGUCGUCCAAUCGAGGCAACGAUUGGGCACGAGACAAGUACCCCGAUUGUUUUCCUAACCCGCAAAACUACUCGCAAUGACUUGAUGCCCGUUAAUUACAGCCAAUGUCAUAUUAAAUAAAACUUGUAUGAAUUUCUUUUUAAGUUAAGAAAUCAUAACUAAUGAACCUCACAAUUGUGAAGUCCAAUAUUGAUAUGUGUUACAAUACAUUUGAAGUCUAUAUUUAUAAUGAAAAAAUUAUGUCUUGUGUAGUCUUUUAGUCGAUGUGGGACAUUAAACUUUUUUUUUAUUAGCGAACAAAGCUACAUAUUCAUUUAACCGAAAAACCGAAAGCCCAAGCCAAAUAUAUGAGGCCUUUUCUAUUUUAAUGAAAAUAUAAUUAUUUUAUACUUUUAUUUUUAUCAAAUAAAAAAAUUCUUAUAAGAUAAAAAUAAAAUUUAUAAGUUCAUGAGGCUUUUUCUAUUUUUAUCAAAUAAAAAAAUAAAAACAGGUAAUGAAAACCUAACAAAACCAAAUAAUCAAAAUAAAUUUAAUAUUUGAUACUUGCUUCAUAUUAAAAGUAUUUUAUUUUUCGUAACGUCUUAAUUAGCAUUUCAAAUACUUAUUUUUCAAAAUAGGUGCAAAUAAACAACUAGAGUAUGAAAUGUGUAACAAUUAUUUUUGCUCAGCUCUAAUGAAACUGUUAUUUAUUAAACAAAUUAACGACGGUUGAUUAAAAAAUUAGAAUUCGUCAACCUCCUUCCUCCCCUCAUCCUUUGUAAAUAUUGGAACGAAGCUAAUCUUUUAUGUGUUACCCUAUACGGGUUAACCAAAAUUCGAGUAAAAAAAUGUCGGGAACAGAUGAUCCCGACAUUAAAAAAGAAUAGAAUAGUAGAAAACAGUAAAAAUGUCAAAAUGAGAGUCUUAGGGAUAGUUGUUGAUGUCGUUGUCGUUGUCCCAACUAAAUAAGCCAACAAGAUGUGACGCGCGUUUCCAUGAAUCGUCCGUGUUUGGUACUAUUGGCGUAUCGACCUCAAUGCUCUCAAUCUCAUCAUUUACAACAACUCGCUCACCUAUCUUUUUUUUCAUUGUUUUACUCUUUUUUUUUUUUAUAUUUUCUAUGUUUUUGUUAUUAUUCUUUUAUAACAUGUCAAUCGUAUGCAAAUCAUUUUACCUAAUCCAGGAUCCGUGAAGUCAUCAUAUAAGUUCUGUGAUGUUUUGAAUUCAUAUUAGUUGAUACUAUUUGCAUGUCUUUUCUUUGAAGUCUCUUGGAUCAAUUAACACAACAUGCAAUAUAUAGAUUUAGGAUCGUACACAUUUCUUUCUAUUAGAGAGUUUUAUCACAUCACACUCACACAUGUCAUGUUCACAAGUCGUUUUUGUUUACUUUUCUUCUUCUACUUGAACCUGAUUCUCAUCCUCAAAUUGGAAAGAUUUGGACGCUGGCAAAAGAUACCUAUGAAAACAAACAGAAAAUAUUUAAGACUUGUAUAUGCCAUAAGAAGUUAUUUUAUGAUACUCAUCCAAAACUUGUUACGUCCAAUGUUGUUCUUGUAUCACAUAUUCAAAUUCGCAUUCGCAUAUUGUAUGUAAUUAACCAAAGAAGAACAUUUCGGAGUCAUGUGUAAAUGGAACUUUCUUACAUUAUGGGUUUGGUAUACAUUUUGUAUAUUAAUAGAACGGUUUUAAGUUUUAAUACCAAAAGUUUCUUAUAUAUCCAAUUUGUGUCUAGUUUUCAAGUUCCGACAACUUUUCCUUUGAAGGAGGAGAAGAAGAAGAACCAUUAUCUAAUUUACAGAGCUCUUCAUCUUCAUCUUCGGAAUUAGCAUCAGUGUCCGAACAACUAAGAUAAAGCUCAUUAUGAUGAUGGUUACGUGAUUCCGAUGGAUAAUCAUCCAAGAUAGAAAGAGGGUUUCUGUUAUUCGGGUCAUCGUAAAGAGCAACAUGCCUGUAGUAUAGUUCAAGUUCCUUCUCUGCAAUUGCUAUGAAGUGUCUCACCGAUUCAAGAGAUUGUUCGUACUUUGAUCUUUCAUAUGCCUGCAAGAGGAAACAUAACCAUGUUAGGAACUAGUAACCAAAACAUAUCCCGAAUCAAAUGAGUAGACUUCAGAAUGAUAAAAGUGAUCUCUAAUUACCCAAACAGAACAGAAACAAAAGAUAUUCUCUGAUAGAUUUGUCCUGUGAUUUCUAUUAAACACGCUACUCGAGUGAAAUGUUUCAACAACAUUAAGGUUUCUAGUUUCAAAAUCCUAAAUGCACAGAGCCUAAGGCAAGUAAGGUUUUACUUCCUAUCCAUUCUACAGUAAGAUGUCCCAAAACAAAAGGACAAUAUGAGGACUUACCCUUUUCUUUGAUAAUGUAUCGAUUGGAGACAUAAUUUGUGGCUGCACAUAACCCUUCCCUCUAUAAAAUAUGAUUGUAUCAUCGCCAAUUAUGUUAACAGGCACACCACCACUAAGUUUGGCAAGCUCCUCUGCAUAUUGCUGCACUUGUCCUGGCUUACUAUUAUUGCAGAUAACCUUAACAGUUUCGUGUUUUUUCCAAUGCAGAUGCAUGUUUAGUAUAACACCCCCAAAUACUCCUCUUCUCCCAAUUGGUACAUAAUUAGACCUUUUCUGACCCAUUUUCUUCAAGUAGAACCGUUCUUCCCCGGUAAUCUCAUGGGGUCGAACCUCAGGCCCCUGCACUUUCGCAACUUCAUACCGUUUCAGUUUCUCAACCAGCAACGCUUCUUUGAUCUUUGCCUGAUACAAAAGAGCAGCACCGAAAAAUAAAACACAUCAAAAUGAACCUUCAACUCAUCAAACUCAUAGGUAUUGUUAUCGAAUUAGACUCUCACCGACCUUUUCAAGCUUGUACGUUAUUCUUUCCUCCGGGUUAGCAAACUUCUUCUUCUUCCCUUUGACAGUAAGUCGCCGAGGGUCUUUCCUGUUAGCUGCAUUCCUUUCCUCUCUUUCUUUCUUCCUUUUCAGCUUCAGCCGCUUUUUCGUCAACCACUUAUACUUCUUGGGAGGAUCAAGUUCCCGAGUUUCAAACUUUGGUUUCCCUUCUGAUAUCACUAGAUUCACAGUACCCUGACUGAAACUUCUACAUAUAGGCCUUGAGAUCGUUGUUGGUAAAAUGAAUAUUAAUGUUGAAUAAGAAAGCUCUUGGCUUUGCGGAAGCAACCUAGUUGGGAAAAUAUCGACAUGAGUAUAAUCACAUUUUGGACAAAAACAUUACCAAACUAUGUUGUAUAUAGUCUCUUAGAUACACAAACCUGGAAGAAAUGAGAAGUGGAUAUGAAGAUUUAAGUAGAGAUGAAGCUUUCCGAAACCCACGAGCAAAAGCAAUUGCCAUAAUUUUAGCUUAAAUCGUCUCAAGAUUCGAGCUUUUUCAUCUAGUCUGCUACAAUAAUCAAAACGUUUUAGAAUAGCAUUUAUCUAAAGAUAACCAAAUCUAAGAAGCAUUUCAUCGAACAAGUGGUGAGCAAGCAUACACUACGAAAUAACAAAAAUUUACUACAAAAAUACUUAGAAAAUUGGAUACAUUCAAAAGAGAAUGAUUAGAAGAGUAGAGAUUCAUGAAGUACACUGAUUUCUUCCUGGCGCCGUGGCUUAGUGAACCACUGACCUGUUUCGCCGGUGGUGGUGGUGGUGGUGAUAGUUCGGCGAGAGAGUGAGAACCAAAGAAGAGAGGAGGAAGAUUUUUAUCUUUGGGCCUGGGAAACCAAUAAGCCCAUUGGGUGGUUGAUUUCUUGAAAUAAAAUAUGGGCUUAGUCAAGGGUAUUAAUGCUCAUUUAGUGUUUAUUUAAUUGUAGUUGCAUCAAGUUUUUCAAUUUUAAGAUAAUUAUUUUCUUAAUUUUACAACUAAAAAUAUAUUUGUAAGUGAAAUUAAAAAUAUAUAUCUAUACCUAUUUACUAUUUUCAUGAUAAUUUUUUAUUUGUAUUAAUAAAAAUACAAAUCUAAGCAAUUUUUCUUCAUUUUAUAAAUUUUUUUGCAUAAUCACAUAAAACACAUCACUAUGCUUAUAAUUAAUACAUGAUUACAAGUUUACAACACAUGUUUUAAAAAUAAUUGACCUAAAACACCAACAAUAAAUUUUGUUUUUGAUUACAAGUGAUUACAAGUUUACAACACAUGUUCUGCAUCGAUCAUGGAAAGCCACAGAUCAACACACGGGGCUAGGAUGGUAUUGCCAGAACUCACAGAACAUACCACCGGCUAGGGGGGCCAAACUACCAAAAGAAGUCUUUCUCCCCUCCAUGCAGAAGUCGAAGCACUUGUUUGGGCGAUGCGCUGCAUGAUUGGACACAACUUCAGAGAGAUUAAGUUCUAUUCAGACUGUUUCGAUUUGGGGAAGAUGGUGUUUUCUUCAAAAAGUUUUUAGCUUCAGAUUUUAUAUUUUUUUGUAAUUAAAAUAUACUAAUAAACUUGUUAAGAAAUUUUCCUUUGGAGAUGUAAUCUUACAAAAUUUACAGAGUACGUGGUUUAUAGUUCCUAUUUCCUAAGCAACUUAGAUUUACAAAUCAAAUAAAAAUUUGCUCAAAAAUAGAAUUGUUGCAACACAAAAAAAUGAGAUAAUUAUUUCUGUUUAGGACGACCAAGGAAAAUCAAUUAAAUGACAAAUAUUAAAUGGUACAAGAGAAGGACCAAGAAGACAGAAGGAUAUUUCUCUUUCACUUCUCUGCCUCGGGAAAUAGAGGGAAGUGAGAGAGUUCUAGAGGAAAAAGAAUGAAAAAUGGAGAUAGUUUUUUUUCCCUUUUGCAUUUUUUUCUUCAACCAAUGAAAUGUGACGCGGAAACAACUGUGCGACGUAGCGUUGUUUCCGCGUUCCUUUCGUUGCCUAUCUUUUCUUUUCUUGCUGGGCCUUUUUUCUUCAUUUAACAUUAAUGCCUGGCCCAUUUUUAAUUUAAGCAACUUUGUAAAAACGACUAGUGGAGCUGGUCUAACAAGAUAAUUAAAGUGUUGUUCCCUCAUCAUCAUACUCGCAUACCACAAGAGCUUCACAUGCCGGAGAGCCAACUAAACAUGAUACAUGUGAAUAAUUAACGUCCACAAGUCUUGAGAUUCUGAUAUUUAUAUCAGAAAGACACUUCUUUGUAUAAAUCUCAUAGAAAAUUCAAAGAAGCUGGACCAGAGUAGCCUAGACAUUGCUCUCACGUCUAAUCCAGAUAACUAUCGUGGUCGUGGCCUCCCAACCGUACCGUAAUAAAACACGUUUCAAGUGGACUCCAAAUAGCAUAGAAGUAAAGAAAAUGAGGAACAUCAAAUGUUAAUGUAUUCUACCUUUUUAGAGAGGGUAACUAACAAUAGUUUUAAAACUAUUAUAAGUAGCUAGUAUAUAUGCAAGACGACAUAGUGCCUAAAAGACAAACUAUCACAUGAUUCACAUAGAUGUGGAGAUGCCAAAUAUGUUAUACUGAUUAGAAAAAGUGCAUUUAGUGAAUAGGGUUUGUACGUAGUUGAAUCUGAUAAGUAUAUCUAUUGGCUUUCAGAUAAGGUUUGGUUUGUAUGAUCUUUGGCAAAAGCUCAAAUAUCGCCGAUUCGAAUAACGCUUGGACAACACCAUAUAAUAUGCUUUGAUUUCGGGACUGAGGGGAUAUAUAGGUUUCGAUCGUCCAGAACCUCUUUGAUUAUUCAAAAAAAAAAAAAAAUCUAACUAGGAUAUCUAUUUACUAUCGAGAAGAGAACAGAGGAAGAUUUAUAAAUCAGACCUUCAUUUUUUUUUCUAGCUUUCUAUCCCUAACUCUUUUAAUUUGUUGCUAUUUAAAUAAAAUAAAAUAAAAACUGAAAAAGGUAAUAAUCCUCUUAUUAGGAUGACGUGUAUACUUGUUUUUGGAAAUAAAUUGGGUACAAUGUAAAAUUAUCACAACAUUAAAAAAAAUCCAAAAAAGUCAAAUCACGAUUCCUUUAAAUUUCCUUAAUUUGGUUUUCUAUUUCACAUUCCAGUUUCUUUGUAUAAUAAAGGAAGGAGAGGCGAGGGUUAACGCACAAGAACUUAAGAUUUAAGAUAUCUCUCUUCGAACUAAAGGUAUCUCUCUCUCUGUCUCUCUCUGAUUGGAUGCGUUUUCGAUUUCACAGACAAGGGUUUGUCUGAUUCUAGUAGUUGCUACGAUAUAUUCUUUUUGUUCUCACAACAGUAGACUUAAUCUUGUUUGGUAGAUUUGGUAGAUGGAAGACCAAAAGCAACAUGAACAUAAGAAGCAACGUGACUCCGAAGAAAGCCAUGAUCAUCACCAUGUGGUUCAGAUUUCAAUAGCAGAGCCAAACUCAGUUCGUGCAGUCAAGAAGACAUGUGGAGAAGCUCCUUGCGGGUUUUCUGAUGCCAAGACGAUUUCAAGAGACGCUGCAGAACGAGCAGCAUCUACGAGGAAGCUGUUGGUGGCUGUUGUGCUCUGUGUCCUCUUCAUUACCGUCGAAGUUGUUGGAGGGAUCAAAGCCAACAGUCUUGCCAUUCUCACUGAUGCCGCUCACCUUUUUUCCGAUGUUGCAGCUUUUGCCAUCUCCUUGUUCUCUCUAUGGGCUUCUGGUUGGGAGGCAACCCCACGCCAGUCCUAUGGUUUCUUCAGGAUCGAGAUCCUUGGUGCUCUUGUAUCCAUCCAGAUGAUUUGGCUUCUUGCUGGUGUCUUAGUCUACGAAGCAAUUGCUAGACUUCAUAACGGUAGCGGUGAAGUUCAGGGCUCUCUCAUGUUCCUUGUCUCUGCAGUUGGUCUCCUAGUCAAUAUUGCUAUGGCUGUUCUGUUGGGACACGACCACGGUUGUCACAGUCACAGUCACGGUCACGACCAUAGCCAUCACCAUGAACAUGAACACGAUCAUCACCAUGAUGAUCCACAUUUAUCUGAAGCCUUUCUUGAUAAGAGUGAGAAGAAGAAGCAGCGUAACCUAAACAUUCAAGGGGCUUAUCUACAUGUGGUGGGAGACUUAAUCCAGAGCAUUGGAGUGAUGAUAGGAGGAGCAAUCAUAUGGUACAAACCUGAGUGGAAGAUCAUUGAUCUGAUAUGCACUCUUGUUUUUUCAGUGAUUGUGUUGUGGACAACAAUAGGCAUGUUGAGAAACAUUAUAGAGGUUUUAAUGGAGUCAACCCCACGAGAGAUAGACUCAACUAGGCUGGCGAAGGGAGUGUGCGACAUGGAAGAGGUGGUGGCCGUUCAUGAGCUUCACAUUUGGGCAAUCACUCUUGGCAAAACUCUGUUGGCAUGUCACGUGAAGAUCAAGCCAGAGACUGAUGCAGAUAUGGUUCUUGACAAGGUUAUUGACUACAUCAAGAGGGAAUACAACAUCAGUCACGUUACAAUUCAGAUUGAACGCUAACUAGUUUUAAUAUUGUUUUAAUUUUUAGACAUUCAUAAAAGAGUUCUAUUUAAGACACAAAUCAUAAAUAUUAGACCAAUAUUUUAAUUAAAUUUGAUUAUUAUAUUCUAAAAUUAAUUUUGAAGAAUUCUUUAGUUCACCAUUGUACAUGCUCUAAUGAUGCUUCUGAGGUGUCUUGUAUUAAUGAAUUUUUAUAGUCUCCUUUGUUUUAGUUUUGACUGAGAUAGGGAUCACUUAAUCUUCUGCCUCCAUUCUAGUGUAAUCAUCAUCAUCAAAUUAGACCUAACAAAAUAUUUAAGUAAUGGGGCCUUCAUUUACAAUAAUUUAUCAUUUAACAAUAAAGAAAAAUUGUAUCUCAUGGUCUCCGUUGACCUUUUUAUUAAGAUAAUAGUUUUGGUAUUUUGCUCUUUUUUGGAGCAUGUGCAUCAGCGAUAAUACACAUCGUCCCACACAAUUUAAUUUUCAAAAAUAAAUCCAAGAAAAAAAAAUGGGAGACGUUUCUUAAUUGGGGACGUCAUUUGCUUUGUUUCUUUAGUAUUCGCGGGUUCCAAUGACACGUGGCGGUCUGUGAUUGGUUGACUUUUAAAAAUAAAAUAAAAUCUAAAGACAAUUUUUGUCCCACACCAAUGCAUAUGGUCUGACCAUUUUAAACCUAGCUUGCACCUAAAAGCAUAGGGUAUUGAUUUGGCUAAUGAUUUUUUAACAAGAUUUUUUUGCUGAUUUUAUCUUAUCAAUUUGAGCCUUCUUUCGAUUUGAGCUUAUUCAGCAAGGGGAAGUUGUUUGUCUUCUGACAUCGGUGGCUCUGUUUAGCACCGUUUGGUGAGCAAAAUUUCCAGCACCGGUUGGCUUCUUCCGCGACGGUUGCUGGCUACGUCUCCAUCGAUUCGUCUUUCAACGAUUUGUAUGGCUUGUGUCCCGGCUUUUGUCGGAUUUUUUUUUUCGCACUAAGGGCUAACAGUCCAAGGAAAUAUGGAGGGCUAAGCUAUUCAACCAAUGAUGUCGGUACAGUUCUUGCUAUCUUAGAUAUGCAGAACAUUCUAGCUCUUGACGUCUUUGUGUUUUAGUGAUAAGAAUUUUUGAAAAUGAUGAUAAGCCGCCGAAGAGAGACUGAGAGACAACAUGUGUGACAGAAACCAUUUAAAAGCCAAAAACCAUGCAACAGGGGAGACCAACAUAACAUGCUUAUUAGUGCUUACCUUUAUUAUUACUGUUAUUUCAAAGUAACAGAAAAAAAAAAACAUACAUCCAUACAUACUCAUGGUUAACUACAUUCAUAACAUUCAAAAAGAAAAAAACUUUCCGCAGCACAUUCGUCUAAAUACGGCUACGACCGAAACCAUUGCGUAUAGUUUGAUCUACAUAUGCGGGGGAGCUGCCGAUGCAGUGGGAAGGAUAACAGCUUCUCUCUGAGCCUCGACGAACCGCCUCAUCGUCUCUUCAUCGACUCCGAAAGCCAUGGACAACGACGUCAGAUUUAGAGUCGUUAGCAGCGAGUUCGAUCCUACUAGGAACUGAGGCCUGUUCUUGUGAGCCGAAGUUGUGAAUCCUACAAACUCGAAUGGCGCGGUCCGAGAAGCGAUCUGGCAAAAGGCGAAGUAGCGAGGGAUCCAGAAAACAUCGCCUACGGAGACUCUCAUGUUCAUCGCAGAAGUUCCGUUUGGAAAUACGACUUGGAUCUCUCCAGAGCCGGCCAAAACAAUACCAUAUUCCGUGGCUGUCGGGUUCAUAUGUGGUGCCAUCAUUGAUCCCUGACAAAAUAUAUAGAAACUUGGCCGGUUAAUACGGUUUUGCUAUUUUUUUCUAACCAAACCAACCUUGCGAUCAGUAGAUCUUAAGACGGUCUAGUUAUCCAAGAAUUACAUAAUGAACUUAUCUAGAGUUAAUUAGUGACAGUCUACAAGUGAUAUUCAAAGACAAAAAAAAAUAGCUAGAUUGUUGUUAAUCAACUCAGAGAUACAUGAAUCAUACCGCGGUGAGAUUUACGAGAAAAACACCGAUCCCAGAGUGUUUAAGAGGCUCGUAAUCUUCAUAAUCAAGAGCUGUACUCCAUCCAAAGUCGUUUUUAAAACUAGGUUUCUGAUCAUAAAUGUUGUACGAGUCCUCGCACUCAGAAGAUCCCGACCCUUUAUUCUUUUCUUCUAUUAAAUCCAUAAACGAUUUUAUAAUAGUCCUCCAAGACCACCCUGAACUGUAUUGUUGGUCUUGAGGGGAUCCUUGUUUCAUCUCCAAUAGUUUCUUGAGAUACCUUUGUUUCUCUUCCCCUUUUAAGCCCAAAAAUUGGGUCCAUAUCGUUGGUUGUGGACCUUGUCGUGGCCCUUCUGUGACAUGUACAAUUGGGCCACGGAAUUGACUCCUCAUCAUUUGUUGCAGCUCUGGUCGAGAAACCUAUAAGCAUAAAAUUGGUAUGAGACUUAGAUUAACAUAAGGAGCCCUAACUAGAUACUAAUAUGGGAGUUUCAAACACCAAUUUCUAACAUUCCUAUAAGAUGCAUUUGUGCAUAUAAUAUUCGUAUAACAAUGCUAUAGAAUAUUAGUACUAUGGCUUUGUACAUUUUCAUCUUGGGAGACAAACAAUGAAAACAUUAUACGUAUUUAGGGUUUGAGUGUACUAACGUUAAGUGCUGAAGUUAAAGUGUCGGGAUCAAAGCCGGCGAGAACAGAGGACGGUCCUCCACCGAUAUAGAAAGGCUACACACAGAAGCAACAAGUUAGCCAAACGCAAAGUUCUAUAAGUCAAUGUGAUAAUAAUGAGUCUAAAAUGUUAAAGUACUUGGAAGGUUUCGAAACCGAGGCUUUGGGUUGGGUCUAUGCUGCAAAUGACAUGAAGGCGUUGGCCUCGGCCUAUGUUUUGUAAAUAAAAGACAGAACCAGCUGGAAUCCAGUAGAUGUCUCCUGCUUUCAAUCUCCUCUCUCCGAAUUCGUCUUUGCAUAUUACUCCAAGAGUAGCUUCACCUGCAAGUAAACACAUGUUGAGAGAGUGAGACACACACAUGACAUGACACAUGUUGAGAGAGCGAGAGGGAAAGAGAGAUAGAGAUACCUUGACGGAUGAAGAUGAGGAGGCUUGAGUCAAGAUACUGAGGGACAAAGAGUGUUUUAGGUUCCAUUGUCAGAAACCCAAUGUGCAUUGGCUUCUCAAUGAUUCUUCCUCUUGGAGAUAUCACAACUCUCAUCUCUCCACCUUCUGAUUUGAUCACUUGCCUUGACUCUCUCAUCAUGAACCAUCCUCUUCUUCCUCCUCCUCCUCGUCCUUGUCCUCCCCAAUCUCCUCCUCCUCGUCCUUGUCCGCCCCAGUCUCCUCCUUGUCCUCCUUGUCCUCCCCAGUCUCCUCCUCCUCCUCCUCUUUGUCCUCCCCAGUCUCCUCCUCCUCCUUCUCCCCACCCUUCUUCUCCUUCAUACCCAUUAGAUCUCAUCAUCAUUACUCCAUGGAUAAGCACCAAGAGAAGUAAGAACCCAAAAGUUCUAGAGUUUUUCGCCAUUUUUUCCAACCUUUCUGAUGAUUCACAAUGUUCUGCUAUCUUUGUAAGAAGGGUGCAUGCAUAUGUGUUAAGUAGGAUGAAGAAGAACGACACGUGUGCGACAUGCAAAAAUUUGGAGCCUUUCGUGUCUACUACACUCGGUGUCUUUUAUAUGCGUAAACGUUUUCUUUCCACCACCUCUCGUUUCAUUGUUUCAUAUGGCUUCAGAAAUAUUUAUAAAUUAUUCGGAGUUGGAGAUCAAAUCAUUUUUUUCUCUUAGAGUCAUAGAACAUGUUAAAGAGUCAUGGAAUAUUAUAAAAUUUAAUAUAACUUAUAAUUUUUUCCUAAUCUCAAAAAACGCUGAAUCUGCUUAGUUAACGUGAUGAUCAUCAUCAUUACAUCAUCAUCAUCAUAAAAAAUGAUUUGAUCUCCAUCUCCAACCAUCAUUGAUGGUUUCAAAUCAUAAUACGUAAUGGUCUUGAAACAAAAUCUUAAAUUUUGACAUUACAUGAGACAGCAUCAUAGAAGCGAAGCAGUCAAUAUUUUUGUUUUCUUCAAAAAGAGCUUGAAAAUAAAUAAUUUGAGAAGAGGAGAGACACAUAUAUACUUAGGUGUCAAUGUGUGGAGGCAUUUCUCAUGCAUUAAACACAUACAAAAUAUUCUUCUUAUAGUAUGUAUAUAUUAAAGUGUUGGUCUAUAUAUAUAGCUUUAAGUAUUUUAAGCCUCUCUACACUCCAACAAAGUUACCACAUCGAGGCACAUUCACAAUUGCUUUCAUUUUCGUCAGCUCACUCUUCUAAAACGUUUUCAAGCUUCCAACUAUUAGAUCUUCGUCUUCUCUGGCUUCUAUAUAUUGUAUCUUUAGCUUAAAGAGAUUAAUGAAGAUCAUCCGGAAAGAUAAUAAGCCCAAUGAGAUCAAAUCAGAAAAAGAGAAUAGUAUAUAUAUAUAUAUAUAUAUAUAUAUAUAUAUAUUUAAUUUGACCAAAAAUUUGUUUUAGUCCAAAAUCCAUUCUUGCUUUCAUAGAUAGCUCUAAAAACAUUUAUCUAAUGUGUAUGUGUCUAGGUAAAUUUCGAAGCUCACGGCUAAACUUCAAGUGCAAUGAUGGUCAACCUUAAGAGCAGUGUCCUUAACUAAGUAGAUACAUAUCUUGGCAAUGAUAUGAAAGAUGCAAAUACAUAUAUGCAAAGCCAAACUUACAUACAACACGUAGAAGCCUAUAAACUGAACAUACAGACCAAAGAAACAUAGAAAAAUGAGAGAAAGUAAAAAGUGCUAUUUAUGAUGAUUGAUGAUCAUAUUUUCACGAUGGUAUGAUGAUUGUAUGUUGAUGAGAUGAUGAUUGUUAAAUGGAUGAAAUAGUAAUAUAUUUCAUUUUGAUUGGUUUCAACAUGAAAAGAAAAGAAAUGAUGGGGUGAAAUGGUUAAUCAUUUACCUAUUUUAUCACCUAACUAAAUUGACACAUCAACCCAUUAGUAUGGGACUCAUUGCAAAUAAAUGGGUUUGAAUUGGACUAAAUUUAUGAACUGUCUCCUUUAUAACUUGGGUACAAAUUAUAAACACCAUAUUAAUAAUUAUUAAACAAAGGCCUUUUACAAGUAAUGGGCAUUACAUGAGCACGUUACGUUGUAAUUGUAUUCUCAAAUUUGGUUACUAAAGUCUAAGUUUUGGCUACAGUAUAUAAAGGAUAAUAAUUUCAGUAAAACGCAAUAGAGUGUUGGUUUUUUUUGUUGGUGUGUGAAAAUAAACAUGUAAUUUAUAAUCUGUAUAAGAGUUUAGAGUAAUAAUAUAUAGUCAAAAAGGGAAUUGAAAAGGUAAAAAUUUGAGAUAGGAAGAAAAACAAAAGUUAAACUAAUCAUCAAAUCAACUUUUUUCUUGUACGGUGCGGAUAAAUCAAUUCACAGUCAUAUUCAGCUUACAGACAGAAGAAGCACUCAGAUAGAUCAAAAGACAAAUAGUAUUUAGUUAAACCGCGUUGUUUCUCAAAUGCACAACAUGUCUCAGUCUCCAAGAAAAUUAUAAAAUUUAUGUAGUAAUAGUAUUAUAAUUAUAGUUUUUUUUCUAAAAUUAUAGUUUAAGUAGAAAGGAGAUUAGAUUGAUAUUGUCAAGAUAACAUUUGAAGUUUCUAUAAUCUCGAGGAGAAGAAAAGUCACACGGAUGAAAAAAGAGAGCUAAUUAACUAGUUUUGGUCGCUUGUCCAAAAACAUUGUGUUGAAAGGUUUCAAAACUCUUUACUUGAAAAAGGAAUAAGAUAGAUUGUUGAAUUUUUUUCUUGUGUCAACGAAAGGUGAAGUAUAAUUACCCUAUAUUUGAUAUUUAGACGAGCCAACAAUUUACAUAUAUAUCGACGAAUCAAAGUUGAACCCUUUAUAUAUGAGAAAAAAAGAAAAUAUAGCUAUAAAAAAAUGGUUUAGCUAAUUUUGUGAAGGACAUAUUUGAUUCGAGUAUUUUAGGACUUCGAAUUAGAUUUUUGGAUUCUGAGUAUUUUGACCAUCCCUAUUCUAAAUCAUGAUUUUUGUUAAAUAAAUUAGAUGUCUAUGUGAAUAAUUAAUAUGUUAUUCCAACAAUAUGUUUAUUAUGCGAGUCUCAUAUAUCUUAGAUGAUGAUGAAACGUCAACAUUAAGACAAAUCACUAGACUUGCAUGUUUUGGUUGUAUCGCAGAAAUUAUAAGUGAGAAAAAUCGGCCGAACAAUAGUUAAGUCACGUUAUUGUGAUUUCUUUUUCUUAAGUAUCAUUUUCCAACCUUUUCUUAUUUGUCGAUUACUCUUUAAAAUGCAUUAAGAAUAUAUAGAAUAUUUGUUUCAAACUUGUUGAUCAUAAUGACAGUGACAAAAUCUAAACCUGAUCAAAGCAUAAUGCUACAAAUUAAGGUCUACAUCGAGUAUAAGGCUACUUGAUAUUAUAACUCAUGUUCCAUUACAUUAAUGACUAAUCAUUUGGUCUCAUUUUGCUGACCAGGAAAAAAAAACAUUUGUCCUCAAUUUUGAACUCUUCAUGCAUAUUUGAUAUUUCACGUAAUGUCUUUCUGAUUGUCUUGCAGCUUAAUCAUUUAUAUCAUAUAAUUUCUUUCUUUCUUUUUUCUUUUACAAAAUUAUUAGAUUAAUAAACUACAACUAAGAGUGGAUAACUCUAAUUAGUAAAGACUCCUUAAUCAAGUCUAAAUGUCUAUGGUUUGAAUAGCGCUUAUUAACUAAUCAUAUCAAAUACUUUGAUUUUUGAUCCGAGAAGAUAUACGAAUCUAAGCAAAAAACUUCUUAGUUAUUAAAAAAAUAAAAGUUUUCUACUAAAAAUCUUAAAACCCUUUGGCAAAAAAAAAACUACUUAGUUCAUUUCUUUUAAUCAUCCUCUAUUUUUAUUUUCAUUUUCACUUAGUUCAUUCUCUUUAUCCAAGAAUAAAACAUAUGUAAAAUGUCGCUAAAAUUUGUAGUGAAUACUUUAGUUUUGUAUAGUCAAAAUGAAUUGUCUUUGAUGUUUACUUUGCAAAGUAUAUCUAUUUUUAAUCUAUUGAUCACUUUAUUCUUAUAAGAAGAAUAAAAAGAUCAGAAUAUGAAUAGAACAAUGUGGUUUGGAUGCAAUGAGAAAAGAGAAUAAUGCAAAUACUUAAAAAAGGCUGCGCCAUUUUAAUUCAAGUUUGGCAUUGUCCCCUUCACACGCUUAUCAUUUUGCACUUGCAUAUAUCUACUUCGAAGACUGAGAAAAGCUAAAAGGAAAUGAAAAACGAUGAAUACUUUUCUUUUUUCUUUUUCAACAAUUACGAGUAAUGAAAAUAUUGAUUAAUUUUUCGUAUUAUAUGUUUGACAAACUACUCAAACCGUGUGCUCGUGUGGCCACUAUAGAUACGUGCACCACAAAAUUGGCUGCGAACACUCUUGUAGAAAAGUAAUACUAAUUUUAUAAUAUAUACUACAAGAAAACAUUAUUAGUGACUACAAAAACAGUUAUUAGUCAAUUGCUAAGUAACAUAAUACAUUAAACAACGUAAUCGCCAAACCAUGCGUCGCUAAAUUACUUGGUCGUACAACAGUCGCUAUUAAGUAAUAAGAUAAUGGUCAUUUGGUCGCAAUAUUUAGUGACUACAUUUUCAAUCGCAAUAUGUAAUCGCUAAAUAACUGUUUUCUUGAAUAUAAAUUAAUUUGUACCCUUUGGAUGGACAAUAGAUUAAGAAAGACAGAUGAGUUUAGACUUUGUCGUGGUAUGAGUUUAAUUCGAGUAAGAACCGAAUCUAAUAAAGUUGUAAGAGCUUUCAUACAAAUAAUUUGUGUGUUUAGUCUUGUUGGCGCGUCGUAUUCACCAUUCCAUUUCUUGGUUCCACAUGUUUUUAGUUUUCUUUAAACGAGUCUAUCAAUAGUCCAACAUGCCACGGUUAACAAUGUAACAUAUCGUCUAAAACUAUACUUAUCAAUAGUCCAACAUGCCACGGUUAACUAGUGGCGGAGCUAGGAAAUCAGAUCAUGAGAGUCAAAAACAAAUUAUAAUAAUUAAUUGUGUUAUUAAAAAAUUAUAGAGGUCAAUUGUGUUAUAUUACAAGGGUCAAUUUUUUUUCCUAAAAAUUUAUCAAAUUUGAAAAAUUCACCAAGAGUCAUACUUCUACCUUACCUCCGCCACUGCGGUUAACAAUGUAACAUAUCGUCUAAAACUGUACUAAUCAAUAGUCCAACAUGCCACGGUUAACAAUGUAACAUAUCGUCUAAAACUGUACUAAUCAAUGCAAAAAAUAAUAAUCAAGAAAUAGGCAUUGUUCAGCUACUUUACAAAGAUUUAAAUUCAAGACUUGAAGAGUUUCAUUACGCAUAAUCAUAGAGUAUAUAACACCAAUGAAUAAAGAUAUGUUGAUAUUAAUGCCUAACAUGCACAAAUAGGCAUAGUUCAAGCUACACUGAUUUAGGACGACUGAUAUAACUUGAAAUAACUAGUAGUACUACUGUAUAAGUGAGAACAACAUAUGGAAAAAAUAUGAUAGUGAUCUACUGAUAUGCAAGAUCAGUAUAAUAAAGUGGUUGGUCCACUAAGAAUGCCACAGCAUGCUAAUAUGCCUCUAAUUAGUCAUGUAUAAGAUUUAGAUAUUUUGUAGACUUUGGUUGGCAACGAAACCAAGAAAAGACGGCAAUACUCAAAUUAUUAUACGCAAAAUCAAAAUUAAAAAAUAGAAAUUAAUUAAUAAAUUUAUAUUAACAUUUUUGAAGUAUUUUUUUGAAAGUAAUAUUUUAUUUUAUAUUAUUUACAUAAUUAAAUUUUUGUUAUUCGAAUAAAUAACCAAUUUUUAAGGUAAAUUGUGUAACACGGAUCGUGUGAUGAAACGAGUUAUAAAUUACAUAAUUAUAAUUAUAUAUGUUUUUAGGGGUUGUAGUCAAACUUAGAAAAUAUUAAUUUAAAAUUAGACUUAAAUAAAAGAUAUUAUGCCAACAUUAUUUCAUUGUUUUGAAUAUUAUACUUAUUUAGUAAAGUUGAUCAAAUUACGAUUAUAUAAAAAAAAUUAUUAUGAAAUAUUCUACGUGUUAAAUUAUAGAAUUAACAAACAAAAUACAGCACUACAAUCUUAUAUACCAAACAAAAUUUAUAUAAAAAUACAUUUAAAAAUAUCGUUUUGCGGUAUACCGCGAAUUAAAAUCUAAUAAUAAGAUUAAAAUCUAGUGAUAAGAAAUCUCCGAAACUUGUGAAGUGACUUUACUCUUACAUUGAAUGGUAAAUCUAUGAAAAUAUAUACCAUUAAGAGAUCGAAUUUCGGUCCUUAAUUUAAAUAAUAGAAAUUUGGCUAAUACACCGAUUUGUUUAGGCUAAAUGUUGAAAAGAAAAAGAAAAUAGACAUUAGCAUUAUGAGUAGGGAAGUUAGGAAAUUACGAGAAACUGAUAAAGAGGCUCUCUAACCGAUCCAAUUAUGAAAUUGCAAGGACUGAAGGGUAGGUACUUUGUUUUUUUUUUCCUUUCGGCUGCUUAUGAUAACAAAGGGACUAGGGAAAAAAAAAAAAAAGUAAAGCCAAUUUGCGUAAUCAUUACAAUUAUAUACCCUAAUUGCCAUCAAACCUAAUUCAUAUAAUAUAUACUACUGUAUACAAAAUUAUCUUCAUUUCUUCAAUGCACCAUAUGCAUAUUAAUUAUAAUUAUCAAUAAAAAGUAUAUACAUAAUUAUGCAUUCGUAGUAAUUAACGUAAAUGAUUGGACAAUAUAAUCUCUAGGAAACUUGGACGUACGUUCUUAUACAUGUGAGCUGAUCAUGACCAAACCACACACCAUCCCUGUCCCAAGUGAUUCGAACUAAAGGAGGAAAACACAAUUACCGUACCGAUCGUUACGAGCUCAUGAGUCCCACCAUCGUUUGGGUCAUAUGUUAGUAAAUAAUUUAAGUCAUUUCGAUCAACCAAAAAAAAUAGAUUAGUCAUUUCGACUUCGUGCCGACAAAUAACGAACUAACGAUGCAGAUAAGAUUCUUUUGCUUGUAAUGACGGUCACGUGGUUGCACAUGAUGUCGGUAAAAACUUGUAUUAAAAUAGUAUUUUGGACCACACUAUUGAUUUUGUUCUUUGGUUGAAUGUUUAAUUAGACCAUUCAUAGGAAUAGUAACGAGUCAACGUGGUCAUACUGUGAGUUGUGUGACAUAUGUCGGUAAACACAUUUUUUUUUUUGGGUUUAUGUUAAUUAACUUACUUCAUAAUAAACUGUUAUAAGUUUUUCUCUAUAGGUUAGGGGAAUGUGUUAUAAUCGUACAUCCCUAUGUAUAAUAUAAUCUAAUGGUCACAAUUAUAAUCUAAAGAGAAAAUUUUAGGAGACAAUGUAACUUCUCAAUAGGAACACAAUGAUUAAGGUCAAUAUUUCCAAAUAAUAUUUACCCUUGAAAACACCAUCAUUAAAGUUGUUAGAUUUUCUUUUUAACAUCGAGGUUGUUAGUUAAUUCCAUCAGUAACCUUAUUGACAAUUUUAGAUGUCGUCCACACAUAUAUAACAUGAGUGCGUAUACGUAGAUCAUCAAACAUAUCUAUAGAUGUGGUCACAUGUAGCAAAAACGCGUAAUUGUGUAGUAUAGUCACUACAUGUCUACAGAGACGUGUCAUGUCUUAGUUGUGUCCUUAGCGAAUCGAGUUUUAAUUUGCCUUUCACAUUGUUAUGUUUUCAAGAACCUGAAAAUUUUAUUUAUAAUCUUCACAAAAUACAAAAUAGGAUGACACAACACGCGUCUGAUAUCCAACCAAGAGCUGUACCCACUCAUGUGUGUUCUGAUGAGUUACGUUGUUCCACGUACAAAACUUGUUGUAGUUGCAUGUUGAUUCGGAGCAUUAUCAAAAAGAUUAACAAUGACAAGCUUUCUCAUUUAUCAAACGAAAUAACAAGUAUACAAAACGGUGUAGACAUUAAAUAUAUAAAAAUGCAUCUCAAUUAUCUCCUUCUCAUUAGCGUUAGGAGAAGAUUCUUAGAAUCUUAAUCUUAAUACAAACUCUUUUGUCUGAUAUCCCUACAUAAUGAUACUACCACGUAACAAUGUUUGACAAGUUUUGUAGUAGUUUUGUUACGUGCUUAUACAUGAUUGGUUGACUUAGAACAAAAAAAAAAAGGCUCCGCAUAUAUCAUAUCCUAGGUCUUUAAUAUGCAUAUGGAAGUAACCACUAAAGCGCUUUAAAGUGAGCUAAUAAUACCAUAAGUUAUGAUCAUGUCCAAAGAGGAUCCCACCACGACAUGGAUGAAUUAUUGUUGUUGUUAUUGUCCUCAAGGAAUCCCAAAUCAUUGCUCUCUUCGUCGGGGCUACUUAUGAACUCGUCGCCACUCUCAAACGAACUCUCAAAGGACAUUUUGUGUUGUCCUUGCUCUUGUGCUGACAACUUUGUUUGCUCCAUUUUAUAUACCAAUUCUAGUAGACUUGAUCUUUGGAGUUGCAUGCCCACUAACUCUACUUGAGUCUUCGCAAGUUGUGCUUGUAGCUCACUUACUUGUCUUUGCAAAUGGUAAAUUGCACCCGCACAUCCGUAAACCGGAUCUCUCAUCCUAGCUCCAGCUUCAUAGACCAUGCUAUUAACCGCAUCUGUUCUUUGUGAUUCAGGAAGCUCCUAUAUACAUAAACAUCAUUUAUCACUAAAACGUUACUUUCUAGAAGAGGAAAUAAAAGUCUUGGACAUGGAACGUGGAUUAUUGAAUAUUUGACAUGAUUAAAAUUUCAUCUUUGACAUUGUGAAAUUGUUUUUUAUUUUAUUUGACCAUGAAGAAAACUUACAUGACUUUUUUUUUCAAAUUAUGGAUGAAAAGGAAUUGUUGAAAUAGACUUUUUUUUUUCUUUUUCUUUUUAAUAUAACUUUAAUUAUAAAUUUUCUUAAUGAGGUUGCAUGUAGUAUAGCUUUGAGGAAAGGUUGUUAUUGACCUUUCAUUGCAAUUGUAGGGUCUAGUUUUGGUCACAUGACUUAUGAAACCAUUAUUGUUCAACAACUAGACUUUUAACUUCCUUUUCACAUUUUGGAAACCAGAUUUCAUCUUUGUAAAUAAAAAGUAUAUACUAUUUUUUAAUACAAAACAACAAAGCCAUCAUUCUCUUUUGAUCUUUUAAAUUAUUAGAUACCAUUAUAAAUCCUUUGUAUAGUAAAUUUUAUUUUAUUUAUUACCCACUAGAGAUAUUGUCUUUGGUGUUAAUAUAAUUUAGAUAUUAAAUACUAAGCAAAUGUGAAAUAUCUUGGUUCAUGUACACACGUGCGUGUAACAUAUACAUAGAAAACACACACGUGUAGCAGCAAGUAAUUAAAGAAAGAAGAUGAAAAAAAUACAUACCUGCAAGAACUUGAUAAUAUUGCUAGCUCCAAAGACACGGUGAGCAAUUGUGAACUUCAUCGGAUCCGUCGGAGGAAAAUACGGAGCCAAAACGCAUUUCUCGGCGCACCGCCGCCUCAAAAUCUUGCAAGCCGCACAAGGGCUUAGAACAACCGGAGGUUGUGGCGGCUGCUGCGGCGAAGGAGGAGGAGGAGGUGAAGAAGUUGGAGAAGGGGAAGAAACAGGAGUGGUGGUUUCCGCCACGGCCACGGCUGAAGCAGUAGGUGUAGCAACCCCACCGUUAAUCUCCAUCUUAAGCAUGAUUAUCUUAGGGACUUACUUGUUUUAUAUGCUUUUCUUUAGAGUCAAUUAGUAAAGUUUAUAAAAUAAGGAAGGAGUUGAUAAGGCAAAGUGUGUUUUGUAGAGUGAAGUGGUUUUAUGGUAAGUAAAGGAAGAUUGUGAAUGUGGUAUAUAUAGAGAGAGACACACACACAAGAGAAUGACAAAGUGACGUUUGUAAAAUGAGUUGUGACGUUAUUAUAAUUUUCUUUAUUUAUAUAUGCCUUUACGGUGUUAUUACUACUACUAAAUUCGUUUUUAUUUUAUUUUUGUUUCAACGGUUGAUUGACUUUGGCGGCUUGAUUAAUUAUAUUUCCACAUUCGCACUUAGGCAAAGAUUGUUAUAUUUAAUUUCCAAUUAAUCCUUAAAGUAGUCUUUUGAAGAAGUAAUCCGUUCCACGUUUUCACAUCUCGCUUAUAUUUGUUUUCAUAUAAAAUUCGGUGUAAAGAAGUUUUCUAAAACACCUUCUUAUCUUUGAUAUUUAGUUAUUUGAUUAAAUAUCACGAAGGCAGUAACGAGUUUAUUUGAUUUUCUAUGUGAAAGCCAAUUUAGUAUCAAUGGAGAUUUUUUUGGUUUGAUAUCAUUCCCUUUGACUCAUUUCUGCUAUCAACCCAUUUGUUGGAAGCAAUAAAUGAAGUAUUCAUAGAGGGAAUGAUACAUGGAAACCAAUUAAACAGUGAUAUGCAAGAAUAGUUAUUGAGGUCAUAUUAUUUACUAAGCUUCACGGCUCAUGGGGACUGCAUUAUUUCUUCGAACGAAUCCACACGAUCAUUUCAUACUUAAGAAAUCACAAAAAGAAUAAUUGAUAUAAAAAGUAAUAAAUGAGUACCGACACUUGUAUGAAAUAAAUAGCUAAAAAAAAUAUAUGUUGCGUAAUAGAGAAAUAAAAUGAACAAAAACGUGUUAAAUCUCUAAUUGAUAAAUUACUUAGAAUCAUUUAUGAAUUUAGUUUUUAACAAAAAAAACAAAAAAUUAUGAAUUUAGAAUGUUUCGUGUUGGUGUUUAUAUAUUUUUCACAUAGAUUUACCAAUUUGUAACUUAUAAAAGUACGAUUAAAAAAUGUGUUUGACUCAUUAUAUUUUAGUUUAGUUGGUUCGAUUUGUUCUUAUGAUUUUGUAUUUAUUAUUAAAAAAUCCUAAAUAUGAAUAUUUUUAAGUGUUUAUAAAAUUACAAAUCUAUAAAUUUGAGCAAAAAUGACAUAUACAAAAGAUUUUCCUUAGAAAAAUGGCAUUUUUUUUUUUUGUAAAAUCCCAAUUACUUAUCUACAUAUAGAAAAACAAAACAUUACAGGAAAAAUAUCACGGAUGCCAUAUAAUAGAUGAAUGACAAAGACAAAAUGGUGAAAUUCGUGUUUUAACUCAUUUUUCCAAUAGACAAAAAGAACUUCAAUGUCAUUUUCUGAAAUGUUAUCUAUUGUUAUCUCUUCAAUUUUUAUUUUAUUUUAUAAGAAAAAUAUGAGUUGCUUAUUCUCUACAAAAUCAAUAAGUUACAUAAGUUUCUAUGAACAAGUUGUUGAUCGAGUAUCAACAACAUUGUUCUCGCAAUGGAAACAUAUUUGAGCGUCGCGUACACAACACCACUAUCGUGAGACUACUCUUUUGGUUGCUGACAUGCCUUGUGGUUGCUUAAACUGAUGAGUGCCUUUACUUUCAUUUUGGUGUUAUUUUUCAUAAUUGAUAUUUAUGCGAUCCUUACAUUAAUCUUUUUACUCAAAUAUGUUAACCAUACCAAGCUUUUUGAUUCUAUUAACCAACUUUUUUUUUUCAAUUCGCCAUCAUCAUUUUUUUUUUUUUGUAUAUUUUAUUAAUCCGAAAAAAAUUAUUUUCGACAUAGGCUAGUGUUCUCGAUUCAAAAUAAUCUUGGCUCGUUUGUGAUUUUUAAAAUUUUGUCCUAUAUUUUUUUGUUUCAUUGGUUCCAAAUCAAGUUUCUGUUUUUUUUUUGCUUUGUAUUACCUCUAAUUUUCCAACAAAAAAAAAAAGAGAAAAAAGUUCCCGAGUAAUACAAUGUUAGAAAAUUAAUGCAAAAAGCCAAAUGGUUAUUCUAGGUUGCCUAAUAUUGGUAAUAUAUAUGCCUCUUUUUCUUCUUCUAUUCUUGAGUUUGUAGAACUGUGUAAGACUUUUCUCUUUGAAAUAACGAUUUCUAUGAAAUGGUAUAGGAAGUAUCCAAAAAAACUUUGGUCUUUAUAAACCAUUUCUUCUUUAUAAUUACUAGAAAAAAAUUGACAGAACAUUAAAACAAUUUUGGCCGAAGCUGACCAAAAAAAAGAAAAAAGUAACUUUAACAUAAUUUUACAAUAUUAUUGUCUUUAUUUAGUAUGAGAAUUAUCGACGUAUCCCCACUAGUUUCAACGUUUUCUUUACGACAUGACAUAUUUAAUCGAUGUAUUUUGGAAAAAUCUUCAGUUUAGUCUUAGCUUUAGAAUAUUUUUAACUAACUAUGCGACUUUAUAAAGUGUACGUGGCUACAUUCUCUUUAAUUAUAUAACAACUGGUUCAUAAAUGUUUUUCGCAUGAUCGAACAAGUACGAAACAUUUCUAUAAAUUUUCGUGAUUAUGGAUAACUCGUACCUUGAUACUUAGCUCUUGAUACUUAGCUCUUAAUACACAAUAUUAUUUGGAUACUUGUAUGAAAAAUACAGCCAUAUAUAAUAUACAUCGUUUUCGACAGGCAAAAAAUAGUUUAAUUUCCACAUAUAUAGGCUUCGACUUGUAUGGACUGUCAUUAAUAAAAAAAAAAGAAAUAAAUGAAAUUUUCCAUGUCAACUAUGGAAAAAAAAAAAACUAAAGUCUAGUGUAGUUGAAAAAUUCGUUAUGGAAUUGGAAACCCAUGAAACUAAAUUGUUAUUUCAAUUCAAUCAUAGUUAUCAUUAAUUAUAACACUUUAAGUAAUAAACGUACAUGAUUUUUCACAAGUUUUGAAAAUUAGUCUGAAAGAAAAAAAAAACUUGCACGUCAAAUUAUGAAAGAAAUUUUCACGUGGUGCACGUUACAACUCCCUGUCGUCCGAGAAGUAUAAGAACGACACGUAGUCAGUGGUCGAGCUAUCUCUUUAUGAGUUAUUGGGUGUGCGAUAUUUCAUAUUUCUAUCUAUCUAUGCUGACACAAUCAAAGAAGACAAUGCUAUCUUUCUACUUUCUCUCAACCAUAUCAAUUUAUUCAGCUUUUUUUUUUUAUAAAAAAGAUACUAUUUGAUUUUAAGUAGUUAGCUCGAUCAUAUUAUAGUAGAGAGACUAAUAACUAAAUUGGGGGACAUAAUUAGGAUAAGUUUGGUGGAAAUUGGUCAGCUCGUUGGACACAUUAAGUAAGGAAAAAUUGGUUUCUUUGAUUUUUGAGGUACUAACGAAAGCUCUUCUUCGUUUUAUUUCCCCUUUGUCUUAAAAGGUCUUUUGGUUGGCUUUUUUUUUUUCAUUUCACAAAGCAAAUAAUUUACGUAUCAUAUUCACUAUAGUUGUUGUGGUAACAUGGAUCAAGAAAAAACAAUCAUCGGUAUACAAUGAACGAAAUAAAAAAUAAAUAGUAAUCGUAAUAAAUCAUAUUUCUUUUUUUGGAUUGAUAUAUUAACUUGUUUCAAUAAUCCAUAUGUUUUUGUUAAAAAGAAUUUUCUAAGUUUUUAUUUAUUAGAAAGUAAUUGUGAACCAUUCUUGAAUUGAACUUAAGUGGUAAAACCUCAGUUUAGAUCACCAUUCAUUGUGUAUAUUUCUAUCUUAAGUAUAGAUAGAUAUGUUAGUUUUAUAUCUUUGCAAUUAAUCUAUAUAACUUGCAAAUAAAAUCGAUCACACUCAUUAACUAUACGUCAAAAUGCAUAAUGUAGCACUUACUUAGCUAUAGUGGAACUUUUGUAAACUUGCAACUUGUAAGUACAUACAGAUUAGAUCUCAUUAAGGUGUCACUUGUGUUGUGUAUAAUAAAAAUUACUCAACUAUACCGACUAAUAAUAGUGCUUAAAGGAAAAUUAAGAUAGUGCAUAAUCUAAUUAUUCUCCCAUUAAUACAAUUAUUUACUAAUAAUAAUAAGACUAGAUGUAGACGGGAGUAGGAAUUUGUCAAACUACUACUUCUUUUAGCUUAAGGGAAAAAAUAUUCGAAGAACUGAAAAAAACUUAUCUUAAUUAGUGUAUAUAUAUAGCUUCAUCCAAUCAAAAUGAUGCCUCUUAUAGUCGUAUUUAUUUAAAAAGUCCGAACACUUUCAAAGACAAACAAAGAUAUUAAGGAAUACUCUUUUGGAAUGUUAAUUUUUUUUAAUCAUAUUUUGAAAAUCUCAAUCCAUAUAUUGAAAAUGAUGAUUUACGCCUUGUAGUUUUUUUUUUUUUUCUGUGGACACAAAAGAGUUGUAAAUCUUAACAAUAUAAAGGAAUGUAAAUUUUCAUCUCAAAAACAUGUAUAGAACAGAUAAAUCAUUAAGUAGAAAAAAAAAAGUUUCUUCUCUUUGCAGAAUCCAAAACCAAAGUUGGCAGACAGAUAUAUGUCCAACUUGAAUUUGAAGUUAAUGUGAAAAUAGUUUAUUGGCUUUUUGAAAAGCCACACAAAGAUAUCUUUAUUUCACCAAUUUUCUUAAUUAGUUAUACUUUCAUAAUUCUAUGAUGAAUAUAUCUAUAUAUAAAAAUAAGAUGACAAUUUUGUCAAAUUACAGAUUAAGGUGGCAGUAGCUAAUUAGAUGUGAUAUAUUCCAUAGUCUCCAUCUGCACCCACUAUAUAUUACCACCCAUAUGCUAAAAAAAUAAUAAUUUUCCACACACCAAAGAAUAAUAUUCCCAAAUUAUACAAAACUUACGCGUGUGUAAGUGUAUAUAUGUAUGUGUAUCUCUGUCACUCUGUGUUGUCCCUCACAAUGUAUCUUCUAAUGCGCGUGGACCUUUGCGAUACUUCCAAAUUCCAAAGGAGAAAACACUGUUACAUUUUUUAAUACGUGUGUUUUAUAUGUAAGAUAAUAAUAGUGUAUAAUGCAUGUUGGAAUUAUCUGAGAGUUGUAUAUGUAUAUAUAUAUAUAUGUUUUUGCCUCAGUGAAGUCUCAUUGUUGACAAAUAAAAACAAAAGAGAAUGAAGUCCCACUAAAUUUUUUAAUUGAAUAUAUUCUAAUUCUAUAGGCUGUAUAUCAUAGUUCUUCUAACUCCUAAUAGUUUAGCUAGCACAUAUAUGUUUGAGAUUUCAUAAUGUUUAGGUUAGACUACAAACACUAUUAUGUAUACAUAUUUUGACCCAAAAAAGAAUAUCUUAUAUGCUAUAUAUAGUGGUGUUUCAUUUGGUUUACGUAUAUAUAUAUAUAUAUAUAUAUAUGUCUUACUUCAAAACUUUUAUAAUUUAUGUUAGUAAACUUAUAUUCUUGAGCUAUCUUUUGAGUAUAAAUUAGCUCCAAACGUUAUCAUAUGAAACCAUAUGAUUUUAAUGUCUAAUUCCAUAAAUUUUACACUUUAUAUGCCAAUCUUGAACACAGUGAUGCGUUCGAAUAUAUAUCUUCCAUUGAGAUUCUGAUCAUUUGUAAGAUAAUAUAUAAGUAUAUGGCAAUAUAUCAACUCUUUAGCUAGCUAGGUUUUAGGGUUCUUAAUUACUAUAAUGAGGAAUAUAUUUUCAAACAAUGAGACUUAUAAAUGCUUUUGUAAUAAUUACCACGAUCUUGUAGUUGUUAGCGAUAUUAAAGAUAAUAGGAAGAAGAAUAUUUGUACGAAGUGUAAACACAACGUAUGUUUAUCAAACUCCCGACAGAAAAAUUCUUAUUUCGAAUAUCAAAUAUAAUAUGGCAUUAUGGUUAUUGGCAAAUUUUCCCACGCAUGUGGGGUAUAUUUCUUUAUAUUUACUAAUUUUUUGGAUCUAUUUUUUUUUUUUUAUAGAACCGAAAAGCCAAAAAGAUGAAUUAGUUAAGUAAUUAAUUUAUAUAUGCUGAUGGUCGAAUUCUUGACUUUAAAGACUCUCUUUAUAUAUGAUCAACUAGUAUAUAAUAUAUGAUCAACUAGUAUAUUGUAUGAGACUUUGAGUUAUCCAUAACGAAUAAUAUAACGUACAUUUUGUGUUGUUGUGUAUAUAAUUUUCAUUAUGGACAUCAUGCUGUUUAAAUAUUCAUAUUACAUCACACAUACGUAUAGUUCGUUUCUGUAAUUAGAUUUGUAUAGUCAAAAUAUAAUAUUAUAACUUUUCACCAUUCAAUAUAUAUACUGAAUGGUGAAAAGUUAUAUUGUAUUUUAUACAUACAUGCCGCAUCUAAUUAUGACAGUGAAUUGCACGUAAGUUUAAUUGAGAUGUACUAAAGCCUAGUAAUUAGAUUUAACAAAAAAAUAAUGCGAUCAAAGAGGUAUGAGUAUUUUGGCUAUGUUUUGGUUGGUUCAAAUAUUUUGGGUUGUUUUAGUAAUUAGAAGAAUUCAUUCGGAUAUUAUAGCAAUUAAGUUUUUGGAUUCGCUUUCGACAAUUUUUAAGUUCAAAUAAUUCAAAUAAUUGAUAGAAAAACCAAUCAAGAACCAAAUAUUUAUAGAUAAGACUAAUUUAAUAUACCUGAAUUACUCGAUAAUAUCUAAAAUACCAAAAAUCAAUACUAAAUUAUUCAUUAUUUUGUAAUCGAAUUUACCCGGUAAUUAAUACCAAAAAUAUUAAAAACAAAAUCUAUAACAUUUGUUUAUUUUUUUUCUUCGAAUAUAUACAAACUGAUCCGAAAUUAUAUAAUAAAAUAAUUGAUUGUUUAAAUAGAUAACAAUAAUGGUUUAAUGCGUUGGUCAAAGAUUGUGUUUCUCGCCCAUGCACACUUAUAUUUGCAAAGACAACAACAGCGUGAUUGAGAGAUACGGCUUCGGUACGUUCAAACUGGUGUCUUUGAUCGCUCAAUAAAUGCUGCAAGAUAGGUGAAUCAGAAAAGCUCAUCAUAAUGAAAAAAUUUAAUUAUAAAUCAGAUUUGUUUUCUGGUCAAAGUUUCAUCCUCUCAAGAAUUGAUUAUAUGAGUUAUGUGUUUCCCUUUUAGAAAGGCAAAAACUUGGAGUGUGCCAAGUAUGCAUCAAGAGGAGGACUAUAUUGACUACCAUUUAAUAAGCAUUAUAUGAUUACAAAUUUACAAUGGAUCCUUAGCCCCGAUAUUACUUCGUUAUGUCCUAAUUUACCAAAUUAUAAUUCAUAAUGUAGCCUGAGUUUAUAUAUGGAGUAUAUUCAAUAUUUGAUUGAUUCACUAGACAUUCAUACGAUCAGUAUCCAUACUACAUGUCAAGGUUACAAAGCGUGUAUAGUUUUAGUUGUUAUUCUAAAUUUCAUUUUAUCAUUCAGUGCAAGUUUUGAAACUAGCAUGCACGCGGGUGAAAUUUUGAAAACCCCCACGUAUACUAGAGACUUAGGGUCCGAAUGAUAAACAACGGAUUGAGCUGUACCGGAUAAGCGAUUUGAUAGUGCGGUACGGUUCAACUGCGCUAUAAACGGAAUACAAGUAUUUGGGGGACAAGUGUGUUUAAUACAAGAUAUGCGGUACAAAAUAAUGUUUGAUUGAUGAAAAAAUAUUUGGUGCGGAUUUCAUAAUAUUUUAUCAAUAAAUAGUAUAAUUAUAUAUUAUUUAUUUAUUUUGUAUUAAUAAUUAAUAAUAUUAUAUAUUUAUGAACCUUAAAAUAUCCAAAUAGUUCAAAUAUUUGAAUGGUAAAAAUUACAACAAGCGGUUUAAAAGUACCCCUAUCAAUAUUCAAAUAGUUAAAAUAUUAUACAUUUUAGUAAAUGAGAAAUUUUGGGAACUACCAUUUUUAAAAAUGCGUUUUAUCUAGAGAAUUUUGAGAAAUACCUCUUUUGGUAUGCCCUUUUCAAAAAUCUCUCUUUAUCUAUCCAUUUUCAAAAAUACCCCUGUUUAAAUGUUAAAAAUUGUAAAGUUUUAUAUAGUUUAAAAGGUACUUCUAUAACUACUAAUGAGAGAUUCAAUACAAAUAUUUUAAAAUGUUGGAAAUGGUUUUAAAUCGUUUUUAUAAAUUUUUAAAGGUUUUUAAAAGGGUUCAUAAGGUUUUUAUAAGUUAUUUUUACGUUAUUUAUGAAAGAUAUAUAAAAUCUUAUACACAUACAAAGGUAAUUUGUGUAUAUAUUUAUAAGGUUACACACAUAUUUGGAUAAAUUUCAACAUUUUUAGUGGUUUUUUGAUAAAGUUUGAAAAUGGGGUAUUUUUUUUAAAAAGUAUAUGAAAAUGAUAUUUUGAAAUCACCUAAUCUAUCUAUGUUCAAAAGUACACCUUUUAUAAUAACUACUAUUGAGAUACUGAAUUCAAAAAUUUAUAAUGUUUUAAAAGGGUUAGUAAUAAAAUGUUUUCAUAUAUUAUUUAUGAAACGUAACCAAUAUUACUUUGAAAUCUUAUUAAAUUUGUACUAAAAUAAUUAGAAUGUGAGAAUGAAAAUAUUAAAAAAAUGAAAAUUACUUUUGUAGAGUUCAUAAUAAAAUAAAAAGUUAUAAAUGUUCAAUAUACAAACAUAUAUUUUUAUUUAUUUUAUAAUAAUAAAUGAUAAUAAAAACGCAAAUGAACUGAAAUAAUAUUGAUUAUAUAUGUGGUGCGGUUUUCAAAAGAGUGUGAGGACCUGGGUUCGAGGAACGCCAGGCGCACCAAUAACCUACCUGGUGGGCCUGAGAGCUGCGGGCUAGAGGACUGUGCAGAUUGAGCCCACAAGAAAAAGAUUAGGGUCGAUGCGCUGCAAGCUGUAAGGUUGCCAUGUGGCGGAGUGUGCCACAUGGCAAAGGGUCCCACGGGGUAAGGUGUUACACGUCGUGUUGGGUAAUAGGAGAGCAUGUUUCUUCCUUGGUUGCUCUAUUUUCGUGACUGUUCAUCUUUUGCAAAGAGCUGAGUGCAGGACCAAGGCUUAUCUAAGCAAUUUUAAUGCAUGUUUUGAUGAUUUCUAUGAUUAUUGACUGAUUUCCUUGUUCGUAUGCUUGCUUUCUAUGAUAUGAUGUCUCUGGACGAGCCUUAUGGAGUGUCUUUUCGGCCAUGGAGUUGAAAGGGAAGGAGAUUCAUCGAUGAGAAGCGACUGAAGCGAUAUUAGGGCUUCGGUGUCGAUUGACACCAAGGGUGGGUGUCGAUCAACACCAACUCUCUUUCUCGCGAGGAUGGUCGCGAGUGUCGAUCGACAUCAGUGGUGGAUGUCGAUCGACACCGCUCGUUAGUUUGAGUUUUCUGUUGUUGUUUCAUUGAUUAUUUGAUGUUUGUGACUGGUUAUUGUCUGAAUAUGUUUUAAUGAUGCUUGUGUGUAUAGCCAGUAGUUGGGUUAAGUGCCUCACUAAGUAUUUUUGGAAAUACUUAUGCAUCUCUUUCUGUAACGCAGGUAAAUGAAAAGUUUGACCGUGAAAUCAAGGCGUGGAGAGCGGAAUUAUCUAGGGGCUCGCUGGUUGUGUCUUGAUUUUAUGUUAUUGCAUUGUUAGGUUGUUAGUUCUGGAAUCUAGAAAUAUGUUAGGAUGCUUUUCUAUUUCCGGAUAAUGACUGGUUUGAAUAUUGUUGGAAUGCUAGUGUAUUGCAAUUGAAUUACUUAGAUUGUUUGGUUAAGUCUUUCGCUAAUCGUUGCUGGUUAUUAUUUUAUGGAUGUUUAAAUUGGAAUUGCUGGUUAAACGGUUAAAAUUAGAAUUGAUUUAAAUUGAUUAGGCCCGGUUUAACUGAUUUAGAUUGUUUAAAUUGAUUUAGACUACUUUAGCUGGUUUAGAUUAAUUGGGUUAAUACACUUUGCAUGAUAAAAAAAAACAAAACUGGCCGGGUCUUUUCAAGGAUCCUUGAAUCCUAUAUUAAAUCUCUAGUUAAAAACAUUAUCAAUUCAUGUUUUGAAAUUGAAGUAAAUUACAUCAAUCAACAGAAAAUAGGUAAAACAAUCUGAUAUGGUGAUUGUAGCGUCGAUAAACAAGUUUUUGUAACCUCUUGGACGUAGAUGUAUAUGGGACCCACUAAGAAAAGUGACGGUCAAGGCGUUAUAGUUGUUCAACUAUCGUCAUUCUAAAUUGCAAAAUAUAAAAGAGAGAAUUUUGGCAUCUUCAAAUAAAUAUUUGUCAUCUAUAAUCAGUACUUGUUGUUUAAGUAACUAUUUCCGUAAAGAAUGUCGUCCAAAUGUGUUUUUUCCCGAAGAAUAUGAUGUUGAAUAAGCGGUUUUGACAUAAGAGAUACAUAUGAAAUAAUGUAGAUGAUGAGUUUCAUGGUACUCAAAAACAACUAAUAGUACUUGUAAAUCUUUUUAAAAGCCUUUUAAAAAACCUUGUAAAUUUUUCAAUUCUGAGAACAGUGCUCACGCAAAAAAAAAUUGGCGGGAAAAAAUGUUGUCAGACAAUUUUUUGGCGGGAAAAUUUGUUUGAUGGAAAUUUUUUUGCGAAAAAAAUUUUCGCGGAAAUGUUUUAGCGAGAAAUUUUUUAUCGGAAAUGUUUUGUAGGGAAAAAUUUUAGCGGGAGUAAUUUAAUUUUUUAUUUUGCUGACUUAAUUAAUUUUCAAGUAGAUGUAAAAUUGUCAUUAAAAAUUAAGAGAGAGUAAAAAGGAAAAUGAUCCAAAAAUGAUAUUUUUGCUAAAAGGUAUCAUGGAAAGGGCAUUAGUAAAAUUUCUCAAAAUAAAUUACGUUUUGACUUUUGUACUUUGCUUUAAAAAAAAAAAAACUAAACAGAGUAGAUAUUUUAUUUAUAAAACCAAAAGCAAUCAUUAUGUUUUUAACAUAAUUAUAAUUAUUGAAAAUAUAAAAAUUUAAAUUAUUUCCUCUUUUAGAAAAAAAUAUUCAUAAAAUUAAACAUAAUAAGAUUUAGUUGCACAUGACAUGGUUUGUUACGUAGUUUUAUUAAAUUUUAAGUUAAUUGAUAUAUCAAGAAAGGGUAUAUUUGUAACUUUAAUCUUUUAUUCCUAAAACAAAAGAAACAAAAAUAUAAAAAUUAAGAGAAAUUUUAAAUUCCAUAAUUGCUAAAAUAGAAAAAGAAACACAAUAAAAAAUAUAAACCACACAAAACUUAGAAUAUAAUACCAAUCAAAGUUUUUAUAUGAUAGUUUUAUGAAUUCGACAUACAAAAUGACAAAAAAAUGAAAAGAAAAAAACAUUUUCAAAAUAACAAAGAAUGUUAUUUGUUAUUUUAAUUCCAAAUUUCGAUUUUUUUUAUUUUCAUUCCAAAUUUUGAGUUUUUUAUUUUCACAAUAGGUUUUGUCGCCUUAUACAAUCGCAUCGUUGGUGAUGAUCAUCAAUUGCUCGUCUGGCACCUCAAAUAGAAGAACUGGUGGAUCACGAAGAGGGGCAAACUCCAUGAAAUCUAGCUCUAGCCUACCAAGUAUGAUUUUAUCUUUUGAGAAAGCUAGUAAUUGAUAGAUCUCACUCAAGUUCAGAUCACUGAUUCUACGACCAUGAUGUAGUUGUAUCAUCAACUGUUCAGUGACAUAUUCCUUAUUCUUCUGCUGACUCUUCAUCAAAUUUUUAUGAAUCGUCUUUAUCUUCUCCUUCAAAUAUGAUUUGAGACAUGUCUGUUUCUUCUUCUGCUCGAGCAGCGGCUUUGCAAAGAAAUUUUUUAAGAGGCCACGAACCGUCUUAACACAUGGCCACACCACUGGUUCAGCUUCGUAAGGGCUGAAAAUGAUCAAACAAGCCCAUAUAUCACACAAUAUGGUUAACUCUUUUACCUGUUUUAGUAGCCCUUCGCUCUUUCUCUUAAAUAUCAUUGCUCUUGCCUUGUUAUUUUCUACCCAUGCAAGUUUUACCUUUGCCAUGGUCACUUUUUGAUUUAAUAUCUCUUUCAGAAUAUGAUUGUUGUUGGAUUUGUUAUAAAAAUGCGCAUGGGAAUUCAUUUAAAUAGAGCUUGGAUAAAAGCGAUAAGAUCUUAAAAAAUUAUACUAGUCAAAGUGGAUGCUUCUUAAAUAUGUAAAGUUAAUUCCUAUUUAUUAAAUUCAAUGAAAAAAUUGUUUCUUAAUAGUAAAUAUAAUAAUUGAACAUUGAAUAUAACAGAAAAAAAACAAAUUUGAUAUUUCAUAAAUUGAAUCAAUUGCUUUUAAUCCAAAUUUGACUAUUGAAAGAUAGUAAUUAAAGAUAAAAUAGUUAUAAUUUUCUAACAGGAAAUAUGAUAUAGAGAAUUUUGAAAAUCGGCAAAAAGCUCCUAGGCGAUAUUAUCGAAGCAUCACUCCGACUUCCCACCUCCGGCGCCGGUGGAGCUGUAGCUCGCCGGCGUCCGGAUAAACUUCCUCUACUCCGUUUUCUCUGCAGCUUUCUUAGUCCUCUCUGUAAUCUUUUAGCUCUUUUAACCCUUUUUUUGCUCUUGUUAAUUUUUUCCACUUUUCCCCGAACCCUUUUUACAAACCUUUCCAUGUCGAAAUCUAGAUGUAGUCCAUGCUUUCAUCUCCCAGUCGGUUCUACGCUUCCCGCCGCCUGUGUCUUCCACACACUCCUUUUAAAGUCAACUUUUGCAUCUCACGUCGCCUAUCAAAGGGAGAACGCUUCCCCCACCAAGUGCUCAACUUGGCUGCGGCAGGCCCGGAGCUCUGCGUUGACGCCCGGAAGCAACCGAGCGUCCAUCUUUUAUGACAGAUCUGAUAGCAAGUGUACUGGAAAAGCUCACCUCCGGUCUGCCGCCGCCGUCGGUGAUGAAGAGAGGCAACAACGUCCUUAACCUAAUGCUGUUCUUUGUAGCCUAUUAUGGGCCGAGCCCAAACAAAGUCUGCCCCCCUUUCAGCCCAUUUGAAAACCUAUCAAAGCCCAUGAAGACUGUAUUCCAAACUCUUCUAAGGCCCAGGUCUGUUUCCUCUUUUAUUUUGGCAAAUUCACGUUUAAUGAAGUCAAUAUUGUCUAAGGUUGGUAGAAGACGCUUUCCUAUCACGGUAACGAUGAAUUUAAGUUGGAUUCACCAUUAUCUUUCACGAAUCCUGGUUGAUAGAGAUGUCUGUGGGGUUCUCAUUACUUUACCAAAAGCCCCCUUUCCUAAUUUUUGCCAAGUUCUCAAGAGUUGUAAGAAGAACGGCAUUAUGAUCCCGGCUCUAUGGAGCGGUGAUUACCGAAGCUUCAUCAACUUUCUAUACCCGCUUUCGCUGAAUACCGAGCUCAAUCAUGUGAAUUUCAAUGGUUUCAAAGAUAUUUUCCAAACCUCUAAAAGCAGGACGAAGAACGGCAUUAUGAUCCCUCUUUCCAUAGAAAAGGGGUUACCGAAGCUUCUCCAAGCUUUUAUGUUCGCCUCUAUGUUCUCAGAACUCAGUCGAGGGUUAAUCUUCCGGGUGUAUAAUGUAAAUCGAGAAUAUCUUCAGGAAGAACCCAAGCCUUUUUCCCAUGCUUUAAAGCAAACCUCUCCUGGAAUGUCUCCGCCUUCCUCUAUGGUGGAGCGUUUUAUUGAAAGCUCCAAUGCGCUAUUCGUACGAGCUGUUUGUGACCACGAGUUGGUCUUGGAUAUCCUGAAGUUUGUCUUCAAUGUGGAAUUCAUCAUGGUCUUGAUUAGAGUUAUUCAUUUGGUUGCAAGCUUUUCAAACUUUUGGAGCUUUCCCUCGGAUAAAUCUUUAAGCCUUUAUCUUUAUCUCUUUGUUUAUGUCUUUUGUAUUUCAUCAGCUCAUGCUUUGUAUGAACUCCCCUCUGCUGAGGUUUAAGUGAAUGCAAUCUUUGUUUGCCCAAAAAAAAAAGAUAAAAUAGUUAUAAUAUAUUUUGAAAAUCAAUAUAGUUUAAUAUAUGUUAUAUUUGAGCCAAAAGAAAGUAGUCGUGGAAAGACAAUGAAUUCAUAGUAGAUAAUCGCGAAAGAAUUGUAGUCAAACGUGUUUAAAAUAAAUUACUAAAAUUUGAAAAGAUAAUAAUGCACAUGAAUAAAUUAAACUCUUUGAAAAUUCAUUUGUUCAUUUAUUCUGACAGUUUUUAAUACUCAAAAUUUGAUACUAUGCAAAUACCAAUAAUCAUUUCAAAUACUAAAUUAAUAUAAUUUUUUUUAAAAACUACCUAUGUGAAAAAUAGAAUAACAAAAAUGAUAGAAAUAAAAAACCAACAAAACAAACAUUGCCAAAAAAAUUAAAAGAUCAAAAUCUGUAAAAAAAUUUAUAAACUUUAUACGUUUAGCGCGGAUCAACAACUAGUAAUUAAUAAAUUAAGAAUUGAAAAAAAAAGUAAUUUGAGAUUUUAAAAUUUCAACAUUGUGGACCUCGUGUAUGAAAUACUGGGCUUUAUUAAAUUACGUUAGUGGAUCAACACUUGUUUUGGGCAUUUAUCUAUGAAGUCAAAAAAGAAAAUAUUGAAAAUAAAACAAAAAACUAUUAACGGAACAAAUUUAACAAAUCGUUUUCUAGACCAAGCCUUUUUCUCGAUGUUAGCCAACCAAACAUAUUUAACCUUGUUAACAAAUCUUUAAAGUUUAAACAUCCAUUAAAGUGAAAUAACAAUUUAUAAAUCUCAAAGUCUCGUGAUUCUCUGAAACAAAAAAAAAAAAAAAACACAAUUGUCCACAAUAAUUAACAUUUCGAAUUGUUUGUAUUGUUGCUAAUGGUAUCAUAAACUACUUUAUAAUUCGGUUGUGCUAUACAUGUUUAAUGUUUGUACUAUAUACCAACGUAACGUAACUCAUGUUAUAUCAUAUCCAAACAUAUUUUUAAAAUUUGUUUGACAAAACUCGAAUUUGGCCACUAAAAUUUUACGAAAACAAAACAUACGGCUCCAUGCCUCGUACCAAUUUUGACUCUUUUGUCGGUAGGCAACAACCCUAUAAAUCCAAAAAUUUCCAUCAUAUUACCUAAUUUCAAACUCAGAAAUUAUAAUACUACUACAACAGUUACAUUUUGUAUUCUUUAAAAAUUAGAAGACCCUACAGAGAAUGUGAUAUAUAAAUUUCAAACUAGGAAAAUGUUAUUUACUACAUCUAUGUAGACUUGUUAAAUUUUAGUGCCAUAGGUAGUCACGCUCAAAUCUCUGUGUUAGAUUUGAUUCUGUUCAAGAGAUUUUUUUAAGAAAACAUUAUAAAAAAAAAAAAUCCUCCAAUAUGGCCGUAUCAUCAGCCAAUUAUAUUCAAAUCAAUUAACAAUAAAUUAUUGAAGUAUUUUGCCGAUAUAGUAUAGUAGUGUCCAAAUAUCUACCUGGAAAAUAUGAAGCAAUCAUGACAGAAUAUCUCGAAACUCACCACUCACACAUUUCAAAACCCAAUGUCUUUAUUUUCUUUUGCUUCCUGACAAGAGCCAGUGGAAUGUUUUAUGGACAACAUGUUAUAACCUAAUCGACAAUAAUUUUCAGUACGAACUACAUGCCAAAUUGAUAUAUGUCCCAACCCUAAUUCAUAUAUCAAGGGUUGAUAUGAUAUGGUAACAAAGAAAACGCAUAAGGAGAACAAGAGAAUAUCUAUUACAUGGUAACAAAUAAUUAACCAACCCAUCCACCAUUAGAUUACAAAUUAAAACACCAAAGAAGUUUUGAAAAGAAGAGAAAUGUCUUAGGUCUUUUGUCUCAACCAAGAAAAUUGGGAAACUAAAAAAAAGAUAGAAACCCUAGAAAUUAUAAAGAAAAAAACCAAACAUCCCCCAUAUUAGUGAAAGUGGUAUACAAACAUGUGAUGACAUAAACUUUAAUAUAGAGUAAUAUUAUUAUUAUUAUUUUAUUUAGUAACGAUCUUAUCUUAGACCAAAGGAGUGUUGAGUAAACCAUUACUAUUCCAAGAUGAAGCCAACCCAUUCCAGCUUUCCCUUCCGGGAUCAAUCUCCGGUACAACUCCGGCGGAAUCUCCGGUCAUCUGCCAUGGGAAUCCCCAUAAGACCUUGCUAGGAUUCUCUGAGAUAUUGUUAACAUUCUCUUGCUUUCUCUCGUUUCCUUCCAAUGAAAUCCCCAAUGUAGAAGCCAUCUUGAUAUCACUUUGAUGGUUGUUGUUACCAUUUCCGGACAUAAACCCAUAACACAAGCUGUUGUUAAAAUGACCGUUUUGUCCUCCAAAGAUUACAUCAUUCCCUGAGUUUCCAUAAAUAGAAAGAUCACCUCCAAAACCAAAAGAAGUAGUAGUACUAGCCUGAGAGGAUGAAUGAUGCUUUUGAAGAGAAGCGAAAGCGAGGUUGAGAUCAAUGGAGUCGUAACCAAAAGAUGAUGGUGCCAUUCCCGUGAUCAAAGGGUUCUGAUGAAGAGGAUCAUUAUGGAAAUUAAUAGACUUGUUAUUAUUGUUGUUCUUGGAGAAAGAUGAGGAUCGUUUGUUUCUACGGCAGCCACCACCGACGGGGACGUUACGGAGAGUACCACCUUUAGUCCAAUAUCUCCGACAAGAUUUGCAGAAGUAACGAGGUUGAGAGAGACUAUAGUUGUUGUAGUAACAAAACUUUGUGUUUGGAGAUUCACAUCUUGGACAGUUUUGAGCUUCACCUCCUAAUUCUCCUCUUGACCCUUUCUUCUUCAUCUCUUCUUCCAUUUUCUUGAUGUUGUUAUUGCUUCCUUUUGUUGAGCUUACCAAAAUGGUUUCCAAAGUCUCGUUUGAGAUUUCCUAACACAUCCAAAAAAAAAAGUUUCAUUAAAUUAUGCUGACGAAUGUGAAAUCAUGAUGGUUUACUUUAUAUAACGGAUUAGUCGUACGUGGCGACGAUUCUUUUUACCGACAACAAUUCUUUGUAUAAAUCAUCUUGUCUAUAAGAAUCAACAAGAAGACAUUUUUAUUUAAUGGGUUUUGAGAUAAGCUUAGGGUAAUCAAGUUAAUACAUCAUUAAAUUAGUAAAUGACAUAGUUUUUGAUGAAUCUUUAUGUUUCUUAUUACCAAAAUUUUUAAAAAUUCCCAAAGAUUUUAAGUUUUUUUUUUUCUUACUUCGAUACAUGGAAGAACUAAGAGAGAUCAAAAUUGUAAAAAAAAAAAAUCAAAACAAAACAGAAGUGUUUUACAAAUUAUAGAACAAUGAAUUACCUGUUGAGGAUCCAUCCAUGCAACAAAGGAUAAAAGCAACGAUUACUUAGUUCUAUAGUAGUAAUUAGCAACUAUGGUUGGUGUUUUUGCUCAAACUCCAAAGAACAAAGGAACCAGAGGAGAAAAGAAAGAGAGAUUUAGGGGGUUUUGGAGAAAAGUGGUGAGCAAGAUAUGAAUAGAGGAGAAGAGCACGAUUCUUAAUAUAUAAAGCAAAAAAUAGAUAAAGUGUGUCCUUUAAAAUAUAUGUUUCUUUUUCAUAAAUCAAAUUGAUUAUUAUUUUACUUCUUUUCUUUUGUAGCUACUUGUUCUUGUUUUUUAUUAUUGAUACUGUUCACAUGUAAGUGUUUUGCAAAAGUCUUUCAACAAUAUACGUUGAUAAAUCUUUCUUUUUGAGGUGAAAAGUGCAAACUUAGAAUUUGAACUUUGUUACAUCUUAUAAAUAGAAUUACAUAAAGAGGAGUCUUCUUAUUUUUUUUUUUUCUAAGAUGUUAAUUAGAAACUUAGAAAAGAAAACUCCUAUUAUGUCUAGUUUAUGUAAUUCUAUUUAUAAAACCCCCAAAAAAAAAAAGAGAAGUAGUAGAAACUAGAAAAGAAAAAAAGAAAAAAAGGACGUAGACAAUAGUGAUGGUACAAAACUACAAAUAUCUGAAAAGAAUAUUAAUCGAAUGGAUUGAAGUCUCAAGACUAAAUGACAAAAGAAAAUAUCAUAUAUAUGAGAACCAAAAAGCAACAUUCAACUAGGGGAAAAAAAUCAUACAAGAUAGUUGUUAAUCGAACAUUCUUUUCCUUCAAAUUUCACACAAUUUAAACAUCGAGGAAUAUCAAUUUAAACCGAAUUUGAUAUAGAUACGCGAAUUCGCAACCUUUCUAAGUAAAAUUCAUACAAAAUAAUUUAAUUGAACAUUCUUUUGCUUCUAAAACUUAACACAAGAUAGCCAAUCUAAUUUAAAAUGAAAAAUGAAUGGUGUUGAUUAAUAAAACUAAAGUUAUAUAUAUUUGGGUGGAUCGUACGUACACAUACGUAUAUAAUGUACACACACACACAAGUCAAGAAGACCGAAUCUGGCGUGGGUUCAACUAUAUAUACAUGUGGACCCUGCCACACCAAUAGCCACCAUCACCAUCAACCAACCCCAAGUACUCCAAACCCCAUUCUCAUUUCAAAUUCCACACCAUUACGCGUCAUGUUUGUCUAAAUGUUUAUACAUUUAUUCUCUAUACGCGUACGAAAAUGUACAAGGAAGGAAACUACACCAAACCAUUGCUAGUAAAGACAACAUUAUUGGGGAUAUAUUAGGGGACUAAAAUACCUCGAUUUUUGCAAAGAAAAUAUAUAAGACACUUUUUUUGCAAAAAUCGAGGUAUCUUAGUUGGUCUAAAAAUGUCCAAUAAGAUACUCCCAAUAAUGUUGGUAUAAAAACGCUUAACAUAUUAAAAUACGAAAAGAAACAUAUAUACAAAUUGUCUUACGAAAAUAAAGUGGUAUAGCUUAGUGGUAAUAUAAAGAAAUUGGUUAUUUGAAAACAUUUUAUGGAGUGGUUUUUAUUUUAGAAUAUUUUACAUUUGAUUUUGGGUGAUUAGUUAGCAAGAUUUUAUGUAUGGAUCGACGGAAGCUUUGAAAUUUCUAGAUUUGCUAUUAAUACAAAUGUCUAUCAAAGGUAAAAGGAAUCGGAUGCGGCGUGGCUGUUCAAAUUAUACGGUCCUCGUUGGUGGUCAAUUAGAUAGAGGACACACAACACUGAGGAUGUUGAUUGAUUCAUUCUUUUUUGUAAUCUUGUUUUAUGUCUUUUUCUUUUAUUUUUGCUGUUAUAGUUUAUCUAACGUCAUAUAUACAAACAAUUAGUGCAUGUAUAUGGUAUAACGUAACAUGACUUAGUGGUCUCGUUAUUUAUGAUCUUUUGUUUUCUUAGAAGUACUCCACCAUAAAAAUACAUUGAUUCUUAUAUGUUUCAUCAUUUACUAAGGUCUCAUUUGAUUUAGUUUAUGUUUGAGCUCCGUAAAUUUUUGUUCUAUCAAUGAUUGAAUGAAUAUAUUGUGCUCUAUGAUCACGUAGUGCUAAAAAAAAUUGUUAAUUGGAUAAACUAGAGACGAGUGAAGUUUAGGUUUGUAAUAAUAUAAAGAUGUUUCUCUUUUUAGAGAUAGACAACUAGUUGAUCUAAACACAUUGGAUUAGUGGCUUGCAUGUGCUCUGCGAUGAGCAUAAUAAUUCUAUCAAUCCAAAGUGGUGACAUGAGAUAGGUAUUAGCCACAUCUUUUAAUCAAUACAUAUAUACAUUUCUGAAUUAUCAUUCAUAUAAAAAACAUGAGGUGUCAAUUUCUACGAACCUUUAUUGCUGACAUAAAAAAAGUACAAAACCCUAUUAUUUUGUUUACAAAAGAAAAAUUUGGAAUUCUGAUUAGAAAAAUAUAAAGAAUUGACAAGAAAUGCCAAAGCCAACGAACAGAAAUUCCUAAAUGUCAGAAUAUUAAAAAUUAUUGAUAACUUCCAAUGAGACAACUCUUAUUAUCAUAUCAGUUAGUAACAAGAGUAGAGAGAAUAUUUGCAUACUCUGACAUCAAUUUGGAUAGAUACAAUUCGACAAGCAUCAUGUUGGGGAGUUCAGAGUGACUUCAGCAAACGAUGAAGCCGCAACUAACUCAAUUCGUAACCAUGUGAAGUGGGAUUGUAUUUGUCAGUUGAGAGAUGAUGAUGAUGAUGAUGAUGAUGAUGAUGAUGAUGAUAUAUGCUUCUUUCUUUUUUCGAAUUUGAAACAUCAUGACCAUAAUCUUUUCUAGACAUAGUUUUCAAUUUUCUGAAUUUGUGAAAGUUUGAUUUGGUUUUUUUUUUUUUUUUUUUUUAACUUCUUAUAUAGUUGAUAGAUGGACAUGU